Molecule: long non-coding RNA, 84115 nt
Filed under: Zea mays
Lineage: Eukaryota; Viridiplantae; Streptophyta; Magnoliopsida; Poales; Poaceae
Description: long non-coding RNA (ZMAY_LNC001212)
Source: RNAcentral
CCCCCCACCCCUUGUCGCACCUGCUGCCGCGUGUCACCUGCUCCGUCAUCGCCACUCCGCACCCGACCACCCCCACUCGCUUAUAAAUUCCCCCACUAGCUCCCUCAACUCCUAUCUCGCUCAAAGCAAAGCACACUCCAUAUAAAAUCCCCUCUGCCAAAUCGCAAGCAACUCAAUUUUCCACUCCCUCGCCCCUAAUAUCACAAUGCUUGGUGAUUCUUGGGUUGAAGACUGUUGUGCAUGGUUCAACAUCUUCGGUUUCCUCCUCUGUAUGAUGGUAAUACUCUUUGAUAGAAUCCUCCAGUGGGAAGAGCAAAGAGAAAGAAAGGGUCAGUGAGAAGAAGAAAGUGAAGAGAAGAUAAGAAGAAGGUUCUCCCAGAAUCAACCCCGUGCCAGUCAUCUCUCUGCUGCCUGCUCAAGCAUCAACAGUAGAAGAAGGCCCCGUAACACCCGUGUUAUGAGGUACUUCAAGGAGUUCAAAUCCCCAAGAUUCAAGAGUUCUACCCUCAUUCUUUUUAAGUGGGGUAGUGUUCCAGUAAGGUUCCUAUGGAAAAAAAGAAGAAGGCCUGUAGCAAGCUUGUGGAGGACCAGAUCAUCGAAGCUUAUGAGUUUCUGGAUGAGAAGUGGUCACCCAAGUUCCAUUGAUGAAGCACUAGAAGACCAAUCAAAGAAGAAAUCCAUGUGGAAGUUCGUAAGAGGAAGGUUUGCGUGUUGGCAUCGUUGCUUCUUCAAUAAGCUAGCUGCCAAGCGAAACCUAGAAGCCUGAAGAUGAUCUUUGAGUAGCCAGAAUCAGCGUUUGCAAUCAGCAACCGGAUGCUCCUCAAGAGCCAGAUUUUUGAAGCUCUAUCUCCUCGAAGAGUCUGCAAAGUGAAGAUAUGUAGCUGAAGUAAAGCUAUACCCAUAACCCUUCUAAGCCGAAUCUCGAGGACGAGAUUCCUUUUAAGUGGGGUAGAUUUGUAGCAUCCCAAAAAUUCAAAUCUUGGAAUUUUCUCGAACUCGCUCUAAAUUCAAAAUGAAUUUCAAAUUUCAUUUCAAAAUGUUUGUUUGCGAGUUGAUAUCAAUAAAUAAAAUUAUAGUGGUCUAUAUUCUCUCUAAAAUCUCCUCAAAAUAUCCUACAAAUAUUUCCCCAGUGACCACCCUCAAACUCUUUCAGAAAUACUGCCCAAAUAUUGCACUGAUAUAUCUCCAAGUAUUUUCUUCCUCAGAAAUACCUUCCGAAUCAUUUCUAAAGUCCCCACAAAUAUUUUCUUCAUAACUUUCCUCAUGCCCAUACGUAUACGUAUGCCUCCGGUGUCAUACGGUGAGCUCUACAAGCUAAUUACACUCAUAUAAGACAAAUCCAUGCUAAUCUCCCACUAAUCCUCUCAUCCUCCCACUAAUCCCCUCAUCCCUCCCCCUAAUCCCCCACCAUGGCUGUAAAUAGAGGGGCAAGGGCCUCCUCUCAUCCCACCCCAAGCCAUUUCAUGGCAACUCCCUCCCCCCCCCACACCCACACGCCCACUCCCACUCCCACUCCACCUCCCACACAAGCACACACUAGCACAAGGAUCGUUCGGUCGUUCUUCGAUCGUUCGUCCCCCUGUUCUUAGUUUGUUCGUUCGUUCAUCCGAUCGUUCGAUCGUUCGUCCGAUCGUUCAUGGUUCGUUCGUCCGUUCGUUCGAUCGUUCGUCCGUUCGUUCGUCCAAAUAAUCUUUUUCCUGCCGUUAUGCUGCCAAAAUUCCGAUCGUUCGUUCGUCCGAUCGUUUGAUCGUUCAUCCGAUCGUUCAUGGUUCGUUCGUCCGUUCGUCCGAUCGUUCGAUCGUUCGUCCGUUCGUUCGUCCAAAUAAUCUUUUUUCCUGCCGUUAUGCUGCCGAAAUUCCGAUCGUUCGUUCGUUCGAUCAUUCGAUCGUUCAUCGUUCCUAUCCAUCAUUCAUCGUUCGUUCAUACGAACUAUUUACCAUCACUAUUUACCGUCACUAUUUACCGUUACUAUUUACCGUCACUAUUUACCGUCACUAUUUACCGUUACUAUUUACCGUUACUAUUUACCGUCACUAUUUUUACCAUCACUAUUUACCGUCACUAUUUACCAUCACUAUUUACCGUUACUAUUUACCGUUACUAUUCACCGUUACUAUUCAUUGAUCAUCCGAUCACCCCAAAUUUCAACUACUCAUCCGUCAUGUUGUCCAGUCCACCUAAGACCAGCCAGACCCAUAUUUCAGUCAUACGAACUCCAGUGACUGUGAUUUUCAUCCCAGUAGGGAACUUCCCAUCUGGUCACCCAUCCCAGGUUUCUCCAAGUUGAGCACGCUUAACUUUGAGAUUCCUUCGAACCAGGCUUCCAAACUUCGAUUCCAAUAAUUCUUGUUUCUAAAUUUUUAUCGAAUUAUUCCCUAUCUAACCAUGUCAUCCCUUAAGCAUGGUUCAUGUUCCAGAAAAAUCCCAAAAUACUCUUGUCCCAUAUUCUGCCUAUAACUCUCUUGUUCAUACUAAGUCAGACGAUUCAUUCGUCACUAUCCUCACCAACAGUGAACUUCACUGUGCUACACCACAUACACCCAGCUAUAAAUACACCCAGCUACCCUCUCCCUCUCCACACACACUCAACACCCUCAGCCAAGGCAAACGCCCACCCACUCAGUUACUCCGCUCUACCGGCUACACGCAUAGUGUCGCUUCGCCUCCAGUCCACCCUCCUGGUAAGCACCUCUGCUCCACCACUAGUAGUAUCUCAACACCACAUGACGCAGAUUCUACUCAAGACUCUACCCAUCCAUAUAUCUCUAUUCUGACCACUAUACUAAAUAUUUGUUGGUAUACUUGCUUGUUUGUAUGUUUGCUUGUUCAUGUUGCAUAGUUAUCGGAGCAUACGUGCUGUCUCGUGGAGGCCAAAUCUGCAAGUCUACGCCAGGCGGUGGAGCCAGAAGCCAGUUCCGCGAGCUCUCCUUCCCCCUUCACCGGAUAAGCACGGCAAGCUCACUGGAUCCCUUUGAUGCAUAAAUUACCUAUGAUUUUUCAACCACAACCCUCAGCUUGUUAUUUUAUGCAUGAUAUGAUUUUGAGACAAGUUAUUAUGGCCACCCAAGCCGCUUGCCGCAAUCAAUCCUUAAUAUAUUUGAUACAAAUGAUUUGAGAAAAGGUGUGAGUUUUUCAAAGGAAAAUGCUUUUCAAAAUGUGUAUGAUGAAGGGUUUUCACCCUUAUCACCUUUGAGUAGGGAUGAUCAGGGACUCCCUGGUUUAGGGGAGGGCCUAAGGUGUUGGCUCAGCUGGUUUAGGCGUGAGCAGAAGGAUUGUCCCCUCAUAUAAGGACCGGUUUGUCAUCUUCACUACUUAUACUCUUUAAUAGUACAACCACUCGAGGCUGUGUGGGCAGUCACUCAAUCUGAACUCGUGCGGUCCGACCCCAGGGUUAUGAAGGCUGGGGAGCACCGGGAGGAUAAGGAGGGGGAAAGUUUUGUCCGGUUUGGACAUGGUGGUGGCCUGACUCCUUCCGGACCGUUAAGGUUAGGACGUGCGGGGAAAGAAAGAGAUUCGGAUUCGGGUCUCACUAGCUAUGAGAUCGCAGAGCCGGACUAGUGGGUAAAGUGUACACCUCUACGCAGAGUUCAAACCUAUUCGAAUAGUCCGUGUCCACUGGAAUGGACGAGUCUGGUAUGGUAUGGCAAUUAAUGUUUUGUUUUCAAAAAAGGGUGUGUUUGAGAAAAAUGUUUUUUUAAAGGUUCGGCGGUUGAGCCGUGAGCUAUGGUGGACGGGAAGUCCAGUAGCUGUUUUUGAAAAUGAAAACCAGUGGGAAACUGCUGAGAUACCUGGAUGGUUUAGUCCAGGGGAUUUUUGUUGUUUCUGCAAAAUAUCCUGUAUAAAAUAUUGUUGUUUCUGCAAAAUAUCCUGAGCUCCAUAUAUUCCAUGCAUUAUAUCUGAUUUCCCCAUUCCGCGGGUGAAGGUGGGCUGCUGAGUACGUUUGUACUCACCCUUGCUUAUUUAUUUUUUUCAGAAAAAGGAGAUCGGAUAAGAGUUACGACUGUUCCCAACCUUGCAUGUGGCUGUUGGACCGCUGAUUUGCUUCGUUGCGUAUAUUGGGCUGCUUCAGCCCCACUUUGAUGAUAUGUCCCAAAUUGUGGACCAACUCUUAAAGUUGAUCGCCACCUUUAUAGGUUUGUCUCGUUUAAGUAGAUCUGUAAUCAUCUAAUGUAUAAAUGUGUUUACUAGCCUCCUGGGACUAGUAAUUGUAUCACAUUGAGUCCCAGAGGAUUGGGACGCUUCACUGGCGCACCGGACUGUCCGGUGCACCAUGCGACAGACAGCCCCACCAACCGGCUAGUUUGGUGGUUGGGGCUAUAAAUACCCCCAACCACCCCACAUUCAAGUAAUCCAAGUUUUCCACUUCUCAACCACUUACAAGAGCUAGGCAUUCAAUUCUAGACACACCAAAGAGAUCAAAUCCUCUCCAAUUCCACACAAGGCUUUAGUGAUUAGCGAGAGAGAUUUGUCGUGUUCCUUUGAGCUCUUGCGCUUGGAUUGCUUCUUUUCUUUCUCACUUGUUCUUGUGAUCAAAACUCCAUUGUAAUCAAGGCAAGAGGCACCAAUUGCAAUUGUGUGGUGGCCCUUGCGGGGAAGUUUUGUUCCCGGUUUUGAUUUGAGAAGAGAAGCUCACUCGGUCUGAGGGACCGUUUGAGAGAGGGUAAGGGUUGAAAGAGACCCGGCCUUUGUGGCCUCCUCAACGGGGAGUAGGUUUGCGAGAACCGAACCUCGGUAAAACAAAUCCGCGUGUCACACUCUUCAUUUGCUUGCGAUUUGUUUUGCGCCCUCUCUUUCGAACUCGUUAUUAUUUCUAACGCUAACCCGGCUUGUAGUUGUGAUUAAUUUUGUAAAUUUCAGUUUCGCCCUAUUCACCCCCCCUCUAGGCGACUAUCAGGAGCGGUUCGCGAGCCUCGAAUGAGCCGAGCCGAGUCCCUUCUUUGAGCUCGUUUUUGCAAUGAGCCGAGCCGGCUCACUAGCCUUGCAAAAUUGAUCAAUUUAUAAAAUAAUAAUGAAUAUUAGAUAAUUUUAUGGAUAAUAGCUCAUUUUUUAAAAUUUGACGAUGAAUAUAUUACAAUUUAUAAUUUAAAUUACUCAUACUGUUGAAUGGUGAUUCUAUGUUUUAAAUUUAUAUAAUGUUAAUUCACUAAAUAAUGCAACAAUAAGUACGAGAAUAUGGCUCGCAAGUCAAUGUUGAGCCGAGCUUCUUUCGCCAGCUCGUGAAAUGGACGAUGGCUCGGCUCAUUUCCAGCCCUAGUUGUGAUCCCCAUGCUGUGGUUUUUUUUUGUGCUUAGAAAAUGACCAUUAAUGUUGUCUUAGGCCGUAUAUUCAAGUACUUGUAUUCAACUUUAUAUACCAUCAGCGUUAAUGAUUUUUCUGUACUAUAAAUGGCCUGCUUGGUAACUCCAGGAGAAUUCUAAUGGCAACGAUACUAGUUACACGGUACAAAAUUAUGAUGAAGGAGCAUCCACUUCAAACAAAUUCAAAUCUAAAUUUAGAGAUCUAAGGAGAAGGUGAACUAAUUACCUCCUGUUAUCGAAAUGCUGCUGAUCUUGUUUGAUUUUUUAACAACGUCUAGUUCUUGAUUUAUUAUGUUAACAUAUUAAUUCCGCUGUUCUUUUUUAUUUGUCGUGUUUUAGUUAAAAAAAAACUAGACAGUGACAAAUAUUCGAGAACGGACUAGUAAAAUAGAGCAAGUACUGUUUCGCACUCCGGUGAUUCAAUUCUCUUAUUACGCAGCACCUCAUCUUUCGCUUUACUGGACAAAAAAUAUCUUGCUCCUAUUUUCACUUCGCAAAACGGAGACUGCAAUGUUGAUACUACAGAAAAUCCCAGUAAGAGAACUCGUCACAGUAACUUAGAAUCUUAGAUACUCUUUCCUUGAAGAGUUUCCUCACUCUAUCCCGGUUCCUUGUUAUCCAAAGUGAACAUUUUUUUUAAGUUGACUGUUCCUUGGGACUAACUAUUAGCUCUUGGAUGCAGAUGAAGAAUUGACGGUAUCCAGAGGGCCUGGGGUUUUGGAGGUACAUGAUUGAUGAGUGAUGACCGCAGAUAUGAAGUGCUUAUCUUGCAGUAAUCUACAUGAUAUGGGUAAUAUCCUGAUACUUUAGCUUCGGAUUCGGGUUGGAUACGGAGCGAGGACUACCCGGAAAAUACCCGGAUAUUCGGGUCGGAUACGGGUACCCGGAAUUUGGGUACCCGUUUUUUCUUUUUCUGCAUAAUAUAGUUAUAAAAUCAUAACUUUUACAUAUGAAAUCGAAUAUAGAUAAAGUUUAUAUGAAAAUUUUAGAUCUUGAAGAGAUAUAUAACUUUGUAAUACAUCAUUUUUUUGUUUAAACAUAUCUUUAGACCAAAAUCAUUGAAAUAAUGUCCAAAUUUAUAUUAAAUCAAUAGACUUUAUCUUUUUUAUGUGGGGGCUUAAGGUUAUCUCCACGUAAGAACUUAAGGUUAUCUUUUUAUAGACUAUUUAUUAGUAUUGAUAGCUUAUUUGUAUUUUUUGGUCGGUACUACAAUAUUUUAAGGAUUUAUUGUAUUUUGAUGAUUUUCUAUGACAAGAAAUUAACAGUACAUAGAUAGCCUCAAAAAAUCGUGAAAUUCUACGGAGACACAACAUAUGUCCAUAUAUAACAAUAAAAAAAUAUUUGGAUCAUAAGAUCUAUAAGAUGUCCGUGUUUCUUCCAUUUCACUUUCACUUAUUUGUAUGAGUUACAUGUGAAAUCAGUGUAAGUAUCCAAGUUUUAACAUAAUCAGUACUUUACUUUAUCAUUUUCAUAUGAGGACAUGAGUUAUCUUCGUAUAAAUUGUUUAUUAGUUUUUGUAACUUAUUUGCAAAUUUUGAGUGAAACUAGAAUAUUUUAUGAAUUUUACAUAUUGCGGUGUUGGUUAUACAAUGUCCUUGUGAUAAGUAACUUUGAACUGCAUGAUGUCAAUUUUAUCGGUUUUCUUUCUUACAUUUGAUCUAUCAUAUACAUGAUUAUAUAUUGCUUAACUUAUGUGUUUGUUAGAUGGUUGGACAAUUAAUAUCAUCGGACGAACUACCCGACAAUUAUUCGGUACCUACCCGAGUAGUAUCCGUUAUCUGUUUCUUACCCGUUCGGAUUAUUAACCGGUCUCGCCAUAUAUCCGUCCUGAAUCUUAACUACCCGUAUUCGGUCUCAUAUCCAAAAGAAAUACAUUAAGGUAGGAUACAGGAUAACCCUAUAUCCAGCUAUAUCCGUCCCGUUUUCAUCCAUAACUUAGAUACUCCUUCCUUGAAUAAUUUCCUCACUUUAUCCCGGUUCCUUGUUAUCCAAAGUGAACAUUUUUUUUAAGUUGAUUGUUCCUUCGAACUAACUAUUAGCUCUUGGAUGCAAAUGCAGAUGAAGAAUUGACGGUAUCCAGAGGGCCUAGGGAUUUGGAGGUACAUGAUUGAUGAGUGAUGACCGCAGAUAUUAAGUGCUUAUCUUGCAGUAAUCUACACGAUACUCUUGUACCUUUCUCGGCGACCCAAAGUGGAGAGUGAAACCAGACAUUCAAACAUAGCAUUGCCUUUAUUAUUAAGCUAUAAACAUUAAUUAGGUAGCCUAUAACUAUACAAAACUCUGUUUUACAAUAUAUACUAUAACUAGUUAGUUGCUCGUGCGUUGCGACGGUACACGAACACCGCUGAUAAAAGCAUUAGUAGUAAUUAAUUUUGGAUCACUUCAUGAGAUGUGCUCUCCCGACAGGAGGAAAAGGAGGAAAGACCCAUUCAUCUUUUAUUCAUCAAUUAGAACAAAGUAGAAGAAGCAACUAAACACCAUACAUGUUCAUAUAUCAAACCCAUAUAUUGUCUAAUAGCUACACAUGUAGUCAACAAGAUGUUAUUAAUCAAUUACGAGACUUCCUAUGGAUACGCGAUGUGUCAAUACUAAUACGCCAUUUUUUUCCUAAAAACAAUGAUAUAGGGAUAUUGUGGGGGACAGUGAAAGUCGCCUAGAGGGGGGUGAAUAGGGCGAAUCUGAAAUUUACAAACUUUAAACACAACUACAAGCCGGGUUAGCGUUAGAAUUAAAUGCGAGUCCGAAAGAGAGGGCGAAAACAAAUCACAAGCGAAUAAGAGCAGAUGACACGAUGAUUUGUUUUAUCGAGGUUUGGUUCUUGCAAACCUACUCCCGUUGAGAUGGUCACAAAGGCCGGGUCUCUUUCAACUCUUUCCCUCUCUCAAACGGUCACUUAGACCGAGUGAGCUUCUCUUCUCAAUCAAACGGGACACUAAGUCCCCACAAGGACCACCACACAAUUGGUGUCUCUUGCCUUGGUUACAAUUGAGUUGGAAUCAAGAAAGAAGGAAGAAGAAAAACAAUCCAAGCGCAAGAGCUCAAAUGAACACAAGUAUCUCUCUCUCACUAGUCACUAUUUGAUUGGAAUUGUCUUUGGACUUGGGAGAGGAUUUGAUCUCUUGUUUGUGUCUUGCAUUGAAUGAUACAGCUCUUGUAUGAGGUGUGAAGGCUGAAAACUUGGAUGCAAUGAAUGGUGGGUGGUUGGGGGUAUUUAUAGCCCCAACCACCAAAUGACCGUUGGUGGAGGCUGCUGUCGCAUGGCGCACCAGACAGUCCGGUGCGCCAGCCACGUCAUCCGGCCGUUGGAUUCUGACAUCUGGUGCACCGGACAGUCACUGUUCACUGUCCGGUGCGCCUUCUGGCUCUGCUCUGACUUCUGCGCGCACUGUAGCGCAUUUAUUGUUCGUUGCAGACGACCGUUGGCGCUGUGUAGCCGUUUUCCGCUGGCACACCGGACAGUCCGGUGCUACACCGGACAGUCCGGUGAAUUAUAGUGGAGUGGCUCCCAGAAUUCCCGAAGGUGGCAAUUUAGACUAGAAUUCCCUGGUGCACCGGACACUGUCUGGUGGUGCACCGGACACUGUCCGGUGCGCCAGUGUCACACCCGGCUUUAAGGAACAAUGCCAAGUGCAUCUCAUACAUGCACCAAGAAGACAACAUAUAUAAUAACAAAGUGUAUAGAUAUAAAUGUCACAAUAACAUCAGAGUACAUAUUACAUAGUGGAAGUCUUAUUACAAAUUAAAAGAUAAAUAUAAAACGAACUAAGGAUCAUCCUUGGCGCAAAGUCAACUAGGGGAAACGCCACCUAGAUCAGAUCAAACCCCUCGCUUUGUGGCUCCUCCUGAACCACCUGUUCUUCUCCUGUGGGGGUGUGAGACAACAAGGGUGAGCUCACACAUGUUCAUCGCUCAACAAGUUGUGGGGAAUAAUGUGGCACGAACUCACCAAAGGUGGGAGCUCAUGUUAUGUGUAAGGCUGAUCAACAAUAGAGGUUUAAAGCUGAGCAUUGCUUUUAAAGUUGGUCAAAGUUUUAUUAGCAAUUACUAAAUGUAAGUAGAUACCAAACCUUAAUAAAAAUAAUAGAACAAAAUUAAUAAAUAAUCCCAUGCAGAUGCAAAUGACAAAUUGAGUUUAGGUUCCAUAAUUUAAUCAUCAGAGAGUCCUGAGCUGCUCAUGACCGUGAGCUCGGCUAGUAUACCAGUUUUACACUCUGCAGAGGUGGUACCCUUUACCCACAAGUCGUGUAUCCCAUGUCGCUAGGGUUAGCUAGACCCUUAGACACUACCGAGGUGAAUGACUAGGGAUCCACUACGAGGCAUUUACAAAGUUCCACUAGCUUCCAAAAACCCGCUACAGUUUAUGGGAAGAGCACUUGCAAGAAUCCCCUGUCUGACCGCCAUCGCAGCUAAAUCAACCCGAGAACCUCCUUGCAUGCAACUCCCCUACUGCCCUUGCCCCUUUCGGGUAAGGUAGUCUUCCACUAGCUUUCCUAAUUAGUCAGCCAAGGGCAUCCCAUUAAUCCCUUGUGGUGGCACGUGUUACUCAAGUUAAGCUCUAUAUUCCAAUUAACAUUAAUGAUCUUGACAUGAACAUAAAUAGAAUAACAAAAGAAUUGGAACAUAGAUAUAAUAAAUGAUUAUCCCAAAACCAUGUAAAGCAAUAGCAAAACUACCCAAGUGAUUCAGGGGUAAACAAGGUAAUGAGAUAAUAGGGUGACCUAUCGGGUUCCAUCAAAAUUAACCUAUGCAUAAAUAAAUGAUAUUAAUGAACAUUAUUGGGUAAAAAGUGGUCAAGGGCACAACUUGCCUGGCACUUGAGAUUCCAGGUACCAUCUUGCUCUUCAGGUGACUCGUAACCUCACGCUAGUCGUAGCAAUACAAACAAACAUGGUAUAGGCAAGAUUAACAUCACACCAAUCAUAAGAAUAAAUUGCGUAAUAAUAAUCUACGCGUCGUUAUGAGAUCGUGGGAUCGAGAACUACUAAGAUCGGAGUCAUGGUUAAGGAGUUAUGAUUUCUCAAAGGUUUUAUGUGAUUAAAUAAGAAAACUAGGUUCUAAGUUGAUUAUUAUAAAUCAUGUGAGAAGGAUAUUCCUAAGAAACCAUUAAUUUAAUUUUAAUCCAUGUUAUAACUUGAUUAGAAAACAUAUUUUAGUCAAAUUACAACUAGGAAGUGAAAAUACACUUUAAUUUUAAAUUAAAGAAGUUAAUCCAAUGAACAUAGGGUAAACAAUUAAUUAUUUACAAACAUGUUUCAUGAUAAAACAAGGUUACCAAUGUGUAGAUAAUUCUAUUACAAAGCUAACACAACUGGAAUGGGUCAAUUCGGAGUUAAAAUAAAGGAGAUAUGAUUUUUCGAAGUUUAGGGAAUUAUUUUUAUACUUAAAAUACUUUCUAUAUUCAUUUUAUAAUUUCCUGACCGCGCAAAUACCAGGGCCUCGGUUGUAAGGGUUUCUUUACUACCGAGGACGGCGGGUUUAUUUGCUAGUUUUACGAGGGCUCUUAUGUAAAGAUGGCACAGCGAAGGGGUAUGGAGAGAUUCGAGCCGUCCGAUAGCAAGUCAAGGGCCGAGAUCAGAUCUGCCCAAGAUCAAAAUGGUAUGCGCUAGAAGCCGCAAGAUUAAAAACCGAUGGUCAGGAUUUAAACACCUAGGAACUAAUCUACAGUCUACAUUCGCAAAUCCAACGGACAACAUCGAUUGGAACGAAUGGGUAAAAUAGGAUCUAAUCCUAGCCACCCAUCGCGAGGUUGACGGCCACAGACCCGCCUUCCUCCUUCCCUGAGCCAGGCCGAGCGGCGCCGCACCGGGGACUACACGGCGGUGCACCAUGGCUGGUGCAUGUCAUUCCGCGCAUCAGGGCACAAUCCACUAAUCGAAAAGGCUCAACACGCAGCAAAGGGUAGGGCGAUUCGGGUGUGCUUCCUUUUACCAGAGACGAAGGUGUCGAAGCGGCGUCCACGCGAGAGGGGCAAUCCGUGAUGUAGACUUGAUGCUAGCACCAGAUUCUAGCUCCGGGAAGGGAUGUGUGAAGUUGUGGCCAAGUGUUCCAUUUAUAGGCACGAGGAGGGACGAAGCUUGCCUGGUUUCGAGGGAUUUCCAUCGAUGGUUGUUGCGAUUCCCCCGCGAGCGCGAUUUCUUGCAAUCCGCCCGGCGGAGUUGGGCAUGACCAAGGCAGGGCAGGUCUACCUAGUGGGGCCCGCACAUCAGUGGUGUGCCACGACGCGCUGACAACAGGGACGCACAAGGCGGUGACCGACCUGUCGGUGUAAGGCGAGACUUGAGGAUUCCGACCACACCAGCGCACGGAUGGCGGAAGUUUGUUGGGGAAGAAGACCUGACGAGGCGGCCCCAUUUACCAGAGACUGCGAGCGCGUGCGACGCAAGCCGGCGGCAGACACUGAUGGCACGGGCCCACGGCACAGCGGCGGUAGAGGGCGCACGGGGCUGAGGGGAAGUGGGCCGCGCAGAAGAGGGAAAUAGGAGAGGAAUGGGCCGGCAGAGGGGAAUGUUGGCCCAGCUACGGGUACAGCCACAUUUUUUUCUUUUAUUUUUUUGAUUUCAUAUUUAAAUCCUAAUUUCAAAUCAGGUUUUUAAAUUCCAGUUUAGAAUUAAAUGUAAAUAGAGUUCAAGCUUACAACAAUUUAUGUGCACACACAAAACUCCAAUAUGAAUUCACAAGUAUAAUUUUUGUUAUUUAUUAUCCGUUUUAGCAAUUGUUCUCAACAUACAAGCCAUAAAGAUUAUUUUUAGGAGAAAUAAAUUAUAAUGUGUAACCUUCAUUAAAAGGUGAUUUUACUUACCCUCCUUAAGAAUGUCCAUCAACCAUAUUAGUAAAAAGAAAUCUAAUUCAUAUGAAGAUCUUUCCACUUUCUUUGAUUUCUUUAUUUAUUUAUUUUCUAAUUGCAUAAACUAAUGCCAUUAGUUAAGUAUGAAAGAAGGAAAUCAAGAAAUCCCUAAAACACCCAAUUAUUUAUUUAUUUAUUUAUUUAUUUUAUUAUUUUUUUCUUAUACCAAUUUUGGGCUUUACAGCCAGACCAGGGCACACUUCGGUUGCCUUUUGCUCUCUUUGUUUGAACUCUUUCUUGGUCUUUUUAUUGAUUUGCUGUGAACCUUUGGCACCUGUAAAACUUAUAAUCUAGAGCAAACUAGUUAGUCUAAUUAUUUGUGUUGGGCAAUUCAACCACCAAAAUCAAUUAGGAAAAGGUGUAAGCCUAUUUCCCUUUCAAUCUCCCCCUUUUUGGUGAUUGAUGCCAACACAAACCAAAGCAAAUAUAUAAGUGCAUAAUUGAACUAGUUUGCAUAAUGUAAGUGCAAAGGUUACUUAAAAUUAAACCAAUAUAAAUUCUCAUAGGAUGUGCAUGGAUGCUUUCUUCAUAUUUAAAAUUUUGGACCACGCUUGCACCACUUGUUUUGUUUUUGCAGUUCUUUUGUAAAUUCUUUUCAAAGUCCUUUUGCAAAUAGUCAAAGGUAAAUGAUUAAGAUUUUGAGAAGCAUUUUCAAGAUUUGAAAUUUUCUCCCCCUGUUUCAAAUGCUUUUCCUUGAGUUAACAAAACUCCCCCUCAAUAAAAUCCUCCUCUUAGUGCUCAAGAGGGUUUUAGAUAUUAAUUUUGAAAGGGGUUAUACCAAUUUGAAAAAUUCUAUCAAAAUAAGAUACCAAAUUGAAAACACUUCUUUAAAUACAAAUUGAAAAACUAAAUUUUUGAAAUUGUGGUGUGGUCCUUUUGCUUUGGGCUAAUACUUUCUCCUCCUUUGGCAUGAAUUGCCAAAAACAGAUACUUGUGAGUGAAAUAUAAGCCCUUUUACUUUCUCUCCCUUUGGCAAAUAAUAUAUGAGUGAAGAUUAUACCAAUUUGGAGAGUAGUAUGGAGCGACGGCGAAGGAUGAAUAAUUCGAUGAGUGGAGUGGAAGCCUUUGUCUUCGCCGAAGACUCCAAUUCCCUUUCAAUCUAUGACUUAGCAUGAAAUGCACUUGAAACCACAUUAGUCACAGCACAUGAGAGGGAUAUGAUCAAAGGUAUAUAAAUGAGCUAUGUGUGCAAAAUAUCAAUCAAAAUUCCUAGAAUCAAGAAUAUUUAUCUCAUGCCUAAGUUUGGUAAAUGUUUGCUCAUCUAAUGGCUUGGUAAAGAUAUCGGCUAAUUGUUCUUUGGUGUUAAUAUAAGCAAUCUCGAUAUCCCCCUUUUGUUGGUGAUCCCUCAAAAAAUGAUACCGAAUGGCUAUGUGUUUAGUGCGGCUAUGCUCAACGGGAUUAUUCGCCAUGCGGAUUGCACUCUCAUUAUCACAUAGAAGAGGAACUUUGGUUAGUUUGUAACCAUAGUCCCUAAGGGUUUGCCUCAUCCAAAGUAAUUGCGCGCAACAGUGACCUGCGGCAAUGUACUCGGCUUCGGCGGUAGAAAGAGCUACAGAAUUUUGCUUCUUUGAAGCCCAAGACACCAGAGAUCUUCCCAAGAACUGGCAAGUCCCUGAUGUGCUCUUUCUAUUAAUUUUACACCCUGCCCAAUCAGCAUCGGAAUAACCAAUUAAAUCAAAUAUGGAUCCCCUGGGGUACCAAAGGCCAAACUUAGGAGUAUAAACUAAAUAUCUCAAGAGUCGUUUUACGGCCCUAAGGUGAACUUCCUUAGGAUUGGCUUGGAAUCUUGCACACAUGCAUACGGAAAGCAUAAUAUCCGGUCGAGAUGCACAUAAGUAGAGUAAAGAACCUAUCAUCGACCGGGAUACCUUUUAAUCUACGGGUUUACCUCCCGUGUCGAGGUCGAGAUGCCCAUUAGUUCCCAUGGGUGUCUUGAUGGGCUUGGCAUCCUUCAUCCCAAACUUGGUUAGAAUGUCUUGAAUAUACUUGAGAGCACCUAGAGGGGGGGUGAAUAGGUGAUCCUGUGAAAACUUAAACUUAUAGCCACAAAAACUUGUUAAGUGUUAGCACAAUAAUUGCCAAGUGGCUAGAGAGGAGUCACAACUAAACACAAUACCACAAGAGAUCAAACACAGAGAUGACACAGUGGUUUAUCCCGUGGUUCGGCCAAGACCAACGCUUGCCUACUCCACGUUGUGGCGUCCCAACGGACGAGGGUUGCAAUCAACCCCUCUCAAGUGGUCCAAAGACCAACUUGAAUACCACGGUGUUUUGCUUUGCCUUUCAAUAUCCCGUUUGCGAGGAAUCUCCACAACUUGGAGCCUCUCGCCCUUACACUUAAGAUUCACAAAGAAAUACGGAGUAAGGGAGAACUAGCAACGCACACAAGACUCAAAAUCAGAGCAACAGCACGCACACAAGUCGCAACAAGAGCUCGCAACACAACUCAAUGAGUUCACAACUCAACAAGAGCUCUAGAUGCUAUCACAAUGAACCAAAUGCGUGGAAUCGAUGUCUUGGUGCUUAGGGAUGUUGUAGGAAUGCUUGGUGUACUCCUCCAUGCGCCUAGGGGUCCCUUUUAUAGCCCCAAGGCAGCUAGGAGCCGUUGAGAACAAAUCCAGAAGGCCAUCCUUGCCUUCUGUCGUCGGGCGCACCGGACAGUCCGGUGCACACCGGACACUGUCCGGUGCCCGAUUUCCUUCCUUAAACAGCGCAGUCGACCGUUGCAGAUCUGGGAGCCGUUGGCGCACCGGACAUGUCCGGUGCACACCGGACAGUCCGGUGCCCCCUUCCGACCGUUGGCUCGGCCACGUGUCCCGCGCAGAUCGCGCGGCCGACCGUUGGCUCGGCCGACCGUUGGCUCACCGGACAGUCCGGUGAAUUUUAGCCGUACGUCGCCAGUCAACUCCCGAGAGCGGCCAGUUCGCCCGAGGCAGCCUGGCGCACCGGACAUUGUCCGGUGCACCACCGGACACUGUCCGGUGCACCACCGGACAGUCCGGUGCCCCAGACCGAAACAGCCUUUUGGCUGUACACAGCCAACUCUCCUCUUUUCUUCUUCUUCCUGUUUCUGAUACUUAGACAAGUAUAUUAGUACACAAAACCAAUGUACUAAGACUUAGAAACAUACCUUUGCUCUAGAUUUGCACUUUGUUCAUCCAUGGGCAUAGAUUCACAUUUAAGCACUUGUGUUGACACUCAAUCACCAAAAUACUUAGAAAUGGCCCAAGGGCACAUUUCCCUUUCAAUCUCCCCCUUUUUGGUGAUUUAUGCCAACACAACAUAAAGCAACUAGAACAAGUGCAAUAUCACUUCAAAUAAAAACUCAAAUUUAUUUUGAUUCAAUUUGGCAUAUAUGGAUCAUCCUUUGCCACAACUUGGUUUGUUUUUGCAAAUCAACCACAAAAUCCUAUCUCUAAGUCAAAUCCACUUGUAGAGACAUAAAGAGAGGUUUUCCAAAGAAAAUUGAUUCAAGAUUCCAAAAACUCCCCCUUUUUCCCAUAAUCAACACUUCUCCCCACAAGAGGCCAACUUUUGACAAAAGAGACAAUGCAAGAGUUUUGACAAACCAAAAGCUCUAUCCUACUAUUUUCAAAGUUUCUCAAGUGGUAGCUGAUCCAUUUAUUGCUUUGGCCUUUAUUUUCUCCCCCUUUGGCAUCAAGCACCAAAACAGGAUCAAUCUUGGCCCUUUAACCCCAUUGCCUCACCAAAAUCUUCAAUUAAGAGCAAAUAGGCAAUAAGAGUUUAAAGAUGAACUUGGAAUAAGUUACCCUCUCAUCGAAGUGCAGUGGAAGUCUUUCAUGGUCCAAGUCCACCUUUUCCCUUUCAAUCCUCCUUCGAGACUAAAUCAUCAACUCAAGCACAUGGUUAGUCUCAAAGGGUCAAGUUGUAACACAUCUUCCCCUAAACAUGUGCAUCACUUUGCAACGGACUUGUGAGGUCCAGGGAGUGUUUGUACAACUUGAGCACCAUAAUAAGCAACAAAAUGCAGAAAGGAACAUGAUCAAAAGCAUAAAUACAAGUAUGCUACAAUUCAAUCCAAGUUCCGCGAAUCUAAGACAUUUAGCUCACUACGCAACCUGCAAAAGGUCUUCUCAUCUAGAGGCUUGGUAAAGAUAUCGGCUAGCUGGUUCUCGGUGCUAACAUGAAACACUUCGAUAUCUCCCUUUUGCUGGUGGUCUCUCAAGAAGUGAUGCCGGAUGUCUAUGUGCUUUGUGCGGCUGUGCUCAACAGGAUUCUCCGCCAUGCGGAUAGCACUCUCAUUAUCACAUAGGAGUGGGACUUUGCUCAGAUUGUAGCCAAAGUCCGGGAGGGUUUGCCUCAUCCAAAGCAGUUGCGCGCAACACUGUCCUGUGGCAACGUACUCGGCCUCAGCGGUGGAUAGGGCAACGGAGGUUUGUUUCUUAGAGUUCCACGACACCAGGGACCUUCCUAAGAAUUGGCACGUCCCUGAUGUACUCUUCCUAUCAACCUUACAUUCAGCAUAGUCGGAAUCUGAGUAUCCAACCAAGUCAAAGGUAGACCCCUUUGGAUACCAGAGCCCGAAGCAAGGCGUAGCAACCAAAUAUCUAAGAAUUCGCUUCACCGCCACUAAGUGACACUCCUUAGGAUCGGAUUGAAAUCUAGCACACAUGCAUACGCUAAGCAUAAUAUCCGGUCUACUAGCACAUAAAUAAAGUAAAGACCCUAUCAUUGACCGGUAUGCUUUUUGAUCAACGGACUUACCUCCUUUGUUGAGGUCGGUGUGUCCGUCGGUCCCCAUCGGAGUCUUUGCGGGCUUGGCGUCCUUCAUCCCAAACCGCUUUAGCAGAUCUUGCGUGUACUUCGUUUGUGAGAUGAAGGUGCCUUCCUUGAGUUGCUUCACUUGGAACCCAAGGAAGUAGUUCAACUCGCCCAUCAUCGACAUCUCGAAUUUCUGCGUCAUCACCCUGCUAAACUCUUCACAAGACUUUUGGUUAGUAGAACCAAAUAUUAUGUCAUCGACAUAAAUUUGGCACACAAACAAAUCACCAUCACAUGUCUUAGUGAACAGAGUUGGAUCGGCUUUCCCAACCUUGAAAGCAUUAGCAAGUAGAAAGUCUCUAAGGCAUUCAUACCAUGCUCUUGGGGCUUGCUUAAGUCCAUAGAGCGCCUUAGAGAGCUUACACACAUGGUCGGGGUACCGUUCAUCCUCGAAGCCAGGGGGUUGCUCCACGUACACCUCCUCCUUGAUUGGCCCGUUGAGGAAAGCGCUCUUCACAUCCAUUUGGAACAACCUGAAAGAAUGGUGAGCGGCAUAUGCUAGCAAGAUACGAAUUGAUUCUAGCCUAGCCACAGGAGCAAAUGUCUCCUCAAAGUCCAAACCUGCGACUUGGGCAUAACCUUUUGCCACAAGUCGAGCCUUGUUUCUCGUCACCACCCCGUGCUCGUCCUGUUUGUUGUGGAACACCCACUUGGUUCCCACAACAUUUUGCUUGGGACGAGGCACCAGUGUCCAAACUUCAUUGCGCUUGAAGUUGUUGAGUUCAUCCUGCAUGGCCAAUAUCCAAUCCGGAUCUAGCAAGGCCUCCUCUACCCUGAAAGGCUCAAUAGAAGAGACAAAGGAGUAAUGCUCACAAAAAUUAACUAAUCGAGAUCGAGUAGUUACUCCCUUGCUAAUGUCACCCAAAAUUUGGUCGACGGGAUGAUCCCUUUGAAUCACCGCUCGAACUUGGGUUGGAGGUGCCGGUUGCGUUUCUUCCUCCAUUUCUUGAUCAUCUUGUGCUCCCCCUUGAUCACACGCCUCCUUUUGAUGAACCUGUUCAUCGUCUUGAGUUGGGGGAUGCACCGUUGUUGAGGAAGAAGGUUGAUCACGUUCAUCUUGUUCCUGUGGCCGCACUUCUCCAAUCGCCACGGUUCGUAUAGCGGCCGUUGGAACAUCUUCUUCAUCUACAUCAUCACAAUCAACAACUUGCUCUCUUGGAGAGCCAUUAGUCUCAUCAAAUACAACGUCACUAGAGACUUCAACCAAACCCGAUGAUUUGUUGAAGACUCUAUACGCCUUUGUAUUUGAGUCAUAACCUAACAAAAACCCUUCUACAGCUUUUGGAGCAAAUUUAGAAUUUCUACCUUUCUUUACUAGAAUGUAGCAUUUGCUUCCAAAAACACGAAAGUAGGAUACAUUGGGUUUGUUACCGGUUAGUAGCUCAUACGAAGUCUUCUUGAGGAGGCGAUGUAGGUAGACCCUGUUGAUGGCGUGGCAAGCCGUGUUCACGGCUUCCGACCAGAAACACUCGGGGGUCUUGAAUUCUCCAAGCAUCGUCCUUGCCAUAUCGAUUAGUGUCCUGUUCUUCCUCUCUACCACACCAUUUUGCUGUGGUGUGUAGGGAGUGGAGAACUCGUGCUUGAUCCCUUCCUCCUCAAGGAACUCCUCCACUUGAAGGUUCUUGAACUCGGACCCAUUGUCGCUCCUUAUCUUCUUCACCUUGAGCUCAAACUCAUUUUGAGCUCUCCUGAGGAAGCGCUUGAGGGUCCCUUGGGUUUCAGACUUAUCCUGCAAAAAGAACACCCAAGUGAAGCAGGAAAAGUCAUCAACAAUAACUAGCCCAUACUUACUUCCCCCUAUGCUCAGAUAGGCGACGGGUCCGAAGAGGUCCAUAUGCAGCAGCUCCAGGGGUCUUGAAGUGGUCAUCACAUUCUUGCUGUGAUGCGCUCCUCCCACCUGUUUACCUGCUUGACAAGCUGCACAAGGUCUAUCUUUUUCGAAAUGUACGUUAGUCAAACCUAUCACGUGUUCUCCCUUUAGAAGCUUGUGAAGGUUCUGCAUCCCCACAUGUGCUAAGCGGCGAUGCCACAGCCAGCCCAUGCUAGUCUUAGCAAUUAAGCAUGCAUCUAGACCGGCCUCUUCUUUUGCAAAAUCAACUAAGUAGAGCUUGCCGUCUAAUACACCCUUAAAAGCUAGUGAAUCAUCACUUCUUCUAAAGACAGACACAUCUACAUUUGUAAAUAGACAGUUAUAUCCCAUAUGACAUAAUUGACUAACAGAUAGCAAAUUAUAUCCAAGACUCUCCACUAAAAACACAUUAGAGAUAGAAUGCUCAUUGGAGAUUGCAAUUUUACCUAGCCCUUUUACCUUGCCUUGAUUCCCAUCACCGAAUAUAAUUGAAUCUUGGGAAUCCUUAUUCUUGACAUAGGAGGUGAACAUCUUCUUCUCCCCCGUCAUAUGGUUUGUGCAUCCGCUGUCGAUAAUCCAGCUUGAACCCCCGGAUGCAUAAACCUGCAAGGCAAAUUUAGGCUUGGGACUUAGGUACCCAACUCUUGUUGGGUCCUACAAGGUUAGUCACAAUUGUCUUAGGGACCCAAAUGCAAGUUUUAUCACCCUUGCAUUUUGCCCCUAACUUCCUAGCAAUCACCUUUCUAUCCUUUCUACAAAUUGCAAAGGAAGCAUUCAAAGCAUGAUAUAUUGUAGAAGGCUCAUUAACUUUCCUAGGAAUAUUAACAACAUUUCUCCUAGGCAUAUUAUGAACAACAUUCCUUCUACCAAUAUUUUUAUCAUGUACAUAUGAAGAACUAGAAGCAAACAUAGCAUGAGAAAAAUCAUUGUAAGCAUUAUAACUCCUAUAAUCAUUUCUAGUUUGUCUCCUAUCAUGAUACAAAAAGGCAUGAUUCUUUUUAGCACUAGUAGCCAUAGGGGCCUUCCCUUUCUCCUUGGCGGAGAUGGGAGCCUUAUGGCUUGUCAAGUUCUUGGCUUCCCUUUUGUAGCCAAGUCCAUCCUUAAUUGAGGGAUGUCUACCAAUCGUAUAGGCAUCCCUUGCAAAUUUUAAUUUAUCAAAUUCGCUUUUGCUAGUCUUAAGUUGGGCAUUAAGACUAGCCACUUCAUCAUUCAAAUUAGAAAUUGAGACUAGGUGUUCACUGCAAGCAUCAAUGUCAAAAUCUUUACACCUAGUACAAAUUACAACAUGUUCUACACAAGAAUUAGAUUUAUUUGCUACUUUUAGUUUAGCAUUUAAAUCAUUGUUGACACCUUCUAAAGUAGAAAUGGUUUUAUGACAAGUAGAUAAUUCACCAGAGAGUAUUUCAUUCCUUUUAAUUUCUAGGGCAAGAGAAUUUUGUGCACUAACAAAUUUAUCAUGCUCCUCAUAUAAAAGAUCUUCUUGUUUUUCUAGUAAUUUAUUCUUGUCAUUCAAAGCAUCAAUCAACUCAUUAAUCUUAUCUAUCUUAGAUCUAUCUAAGCCUUUGAAUAAGCAUGAAUAGUCUAUGUCAUCAUCAUCACUAGACUCAUUAUCACUAGAAGAAGCAUAAGUGGAGUCUCGAGUACUCACCUUCUUCUCCCUUGCCAUAAGGCAUGUGUGACGCUCGUUGGGGAAGAGAGAUGACUUGUUGAAGGCGGUGGCGGCGAGUCCUUCAUUGUCGGAGUUGGAGGAGGAGCAAUCCGAAUCCCACUCCUUUCCUAUAUGUGCCUCGCCCUUGGCCUUCUUGUAAUGCUUCUUCUUCUCCCUUUUGUUCCCCUUUUCCUGGUCACUUUCAUUAUCGGGACAGUUAGCAAUGAAAUGACCAAUCUUACCACAUUUGAAGCACGAGCGCUUCUCCUUUGUCUUGGUCUUGCUUGGCUGUCCCUUGCGACCUUUAAGCGCCGUCUUGAAGCGCUUAAUGAUGAGGGCCAUCUCCUCAUUAUUGAGCCCGGCCGCCUCAACUUGCGCCACCUUGCUUGGUAGCGCCUCCUUGCUCCUCGUUGCCUUGAGAGCAAGGGGUUGCGGCUCGUUGAUCGGACCAUUCAAGGCGUCGUCCACGUAUCUUGCCUCCUUGAUCAUCAUUCGCCCGCUAACGAAUUUCCCAAGUACUUCUUCGGGUGACAUCUUGGUGUACCUAGGAUUUUCACGAAUAUUGUUCACCAAAUGAGGAUCAAGAACAGUAAAGGACCUUAGCAUUAGGCGGACGACGUCGUGAUCCGUCCAUCGCGUGCUUCCGUAGCUCCUUAUUUUGUUGAUAAGGGUCUUGAGCCGGUUGUAUGUUUGAGUUGGCUCCUCGCCCCUUAACAUUGCGAACCGUCCAAGCUCGCCCUCCACCAACUCCAUCUUGGUGAGUAAGGUGACAUCGUUCCCCUCAUGAGAGAUCUUGAGGGUGUCCCAGAUCUGCUUGGCAUUGUCCAAGCCGCUCACCUUAUGGUACUCGUCCCUGCACAAAGAGGCUAGCAACACAGUAGUAGCUUGUGCAUUUUUAUGAAUCUGUUCAUUAAUAAACAUGGGACUAUCCAUAAUAUCAAAGUGCAUUCCACUUUCUACAAUCUCCCAUAUGCUAGGAUGGAGAGAGAACAAGUGACUACGCAUUUUGUGACUCUAAAAUCCGUAGUCCUCUCCAUCAAAAUGAGGAGGUUUACCAAGUGGAAUAGAUAAUAAAUGAGCAUUAGUACUUUGAGGAAUACGAGAGUAAUCAAAAGAAAAGUUCGAAUUAACCGGUUUCUUUCUCUCGUAUUCGUUGUGGUCGUCGUCCUUUUGGGAGGAAGUAGACUCAUCGCUGUCGUAGUAGACGAUCUCCUUGAUGCGUCUUGUCUUCUUCUUCUUCCCAUCUUUGCGUCUGUGGCCCGAGCCCGAGUCGUUGGACUUGUCAUCCCUUGGCUCGUUGACGAAGGACUCCUUCUCCUUGUCGUUGAUCACGAUUCCCUUCCCUUUAGGAUCCAUCUCUUCGGGCGAUUAGUCCCUUUGUGAAGAGAACGGCUCUGAUACCAAUUGAGAGCACCUAGAGGGGGGGUGAAUAGGUGAUCCUGUGAAAACUUAAACUUAUAGCCACAAAAACUUGUUAAGUGUUAGCACAAUAAUUGCCAAGUGGCUAGAGAGGAGUCACAACUAAACACAAUACCACAAGAGAUCAAACACAGAGAUGACACAGUGGUUUAUCCCGUGGUUCGGCCAAGACCAACGCUUGCCUACUCCACGUUGUGGCGUCCCAACGGACGAGGGUUGCAAUCAACCCCUCUCAAGUGGUCCAAAGACCAACUUGAAUACCACGGUGUUUUGCUUUGCCUUUCAAUAUCCCGUUUGCGAGGAAUCUCCACAACUUGGAGCCUCUCGCCCUUACACUUAAGAUUCACAAAGAAAUACGGAGUAAGGGAGAACUAGCAACGCACACAAGACUCAAAAUCAGAGCAACAGCACGCACACAAGUCGCAACAAGAGCUCGCAACACAACUCAAUGAGUUCACAACUCAACAAGAGCUCUAGAUGCUAUCACAAUGAACCAAAUGCGUGGAAUCGAUGUCUUGGUGCUUAGGGAUGUUGUAGGAAUGCUUGGUGUACUCCUCCAUGCGCCUAGGGGUCCCUUUUAUAUCCCCAAGGCAGCUAGGAGCCGUUGAGAACAAAUCCAGAAGGCCAUCCUUGCCUUCUUUCGUCGGGCGCACCGGACAGUCCAGUGCACACCGGACACUGUCCGGUGCCCGAUUUCCUUCCUUAAACAGCGCAGUCGACCGUUGCAGAUCUGGGAGCCGUUGGCGCACCGGACAUGUCCGGUGCACACCGGACAGUCCGGUGCCCCCUUCCGACCGUUGGCUCGGCCGACCGUUGGCUCACCGGACAGUCCGGUGCACACCGGACAGUCCGGUGAAUUUUAGCCGUACGUCGCCAGUCAACUCCCGAGAGCGGCCAGUUCGCCCGAGGCAGCCUGGCGCACCGGACACUGUCCGGUGCACCACCGGACAGUCCGGUGCCCCAGACCGAAACAGCCUUUUGGCUGUACACAGCCAACUCUCCUCUUUUCUUCUUCUUCCUGUUUCUGAUACUUAGACAAGUAUAUUAGUACACAAAACCAAUGUACUAAGACUUAGAAACAUACCUUUGCUCUAGAUUUGCACUUUGUUCAUCCAUGGGCAUAGAUUCACAUUUAAGCACUUGUGUUGACACUCAAUCACCAAAAUACUUAGAAAUGGCCCAAGGGCACAUUUCCCUUUCAAUACUUCGUUUGGCUAAUGAAGGUGCCCUCUUGGAGUUGCUUCACUUGAAAUCCUAAGAAAUACUUCAACUCCCCCAUCAUAGACAUCUCGAAUUUUUGAGUCAUGAUCCUACUAAACUCUUCACAUGAAGAUUCGUUAGUAGACCCAAAUAUGGUAUCAUCAACAUAAAUUUGGCAUACAAACAAAUCAUUUGCAAGUGUUUUAGUAAAGCGAGUAGGAUCAGCUUUUCCGACUUUGAAGCCAUUAGUGAUAAGAAAAUCUCUUAGGCAUUCAUACCAUGCUCUUGGGGCUUGCUUGAGCCCAUAAAGCGCCUUAGAGAGUUUAUAAACAUGGUUAGGGUACUCACUAUCUUCAAAGCCAGGAGGUUGCUCAACAUAGACCUCUUCCUUGAUUGGCCCAUUGAGGAAGGCACUUUUCACGUCCAUUUGGUAAAGCUUAAAGCCAUGGUAAGUAGCAUAGGCAAGUAAUAUACGAAUUGACUCAAGCCUAGCUACGGGUGCAUAGGUUUCACCGAAAUCCAAACCUUCGACUUGUGAAUAUCCCUUGGCCACAAGUCGGGCUUUGUUUCUUGUCACCACACCAUGCUCAUCUUGCUUGUUGCGGAAGACCCACUUGGUUCCUACAACAUUUUGGUUAGGACAUGGAACUAAAUGUCAUACGUCAUUCCUCGUGAAGUUGUUGAGCUCCUCUUGCAUUGCCAACACCCAAUCUAAAUCCCUUAAUUCAUCUUCUACCCUGUAUGGCUCAAUAACAGACACAAAAGAGUAAUGUUCACAAAAAUGAGCAACACAAGAUCGAGUGGUUACCCCCUUUUGAAUAUUGUCGAGAAUGGUGUUCACGGGGUGAUCUUGUUGGAUUGCUUGGUGGACUCUUGAGUGUGGCAGUUUUGGACCCUCAUCAUCUUCCUUGUCUUGAUCAUUGACAUCUCCCCCUUGAUCAUUGCCCUCCUCUUGAGGUGGCUCAUCUUCUUGAUCCUCAUCUUCAUCAUCUUGAGCUUGAUCCUCAUCUUGGGUUGGUCGAGAUGCUUGCAUGGAGGAAGAUGGUUGAUCUUGUGCAUGUGGAGGCUCUUUGGAUUCCUUAGGACACACAUCCCCAAUGGACAUGUUCCUUAGCGCGACGCACGGAGCCUCUUCAUCAUCUAGCUCAUCAAGAUCAACUUGCUCUACUUGAGAGCCGUUAGUCUCAAACACAAUGUCACAAGAAACUUCAACAAGUCCAGUGGACUUGUUAAAGACUCUAUAUGCCCUUGUGUUUGAAUCAUAACCAAGUAAAAAGUCUUCUACAGCCUUAGGAGCAAAUUUAGAUUUUCUACCUCUUUUAACAAGAAUAAAGCAUUUUCUACCAAAGACUCUAAAAUAUGAAACAUUGGGCUUUUUACCGGUUAGGAGUUCAUAAGAUGUCUUCUUGAGGAUUCGGUGAAGAUAUAACCGGUUGAUGGCGUAGCAAGCGGUGUUGACCGCCUCGGCCCAAAACCGAUCCGAAGUCUUGUACUCAUCAAGCAUGGUCCUUGCCAUGUCCAAUAGAGUUCUAUUCUUCCUCUCCACUACACCAUUUUGUUGUGGCGUGUAGGGAGAAGAGAACUCAUGCUUGAUGCCCUCCUCCUCAAGAAAGCCUUCUAUUUGAGAGUUCUUGAACUCCGUUCUGUUGUCACUUCUAAUCUUUUUUAUCCUUAAGCCGAACUCAUUUUGAGCCCGUCUCAAUAAUCCCUUUAAGGUCUCUUGGGUUUGAGAUUUAUCCUGCAAAAAGAAUACCCAAGUGAAGCGAGAAUAAUCAUCCACAAUUACAAGACAAUACUUACUACCGUCGAUGCUUAUGUAAGCGAUCGUGCUGAAUAGGUCCAUGUGGAGUAGCUCAAGAGGCCUGUCGGUCGUCAUGAUGUUCUUGUGUGGAUGAUGAACACCAACUUGCUUUCCUGCUUGACAUGCGCUACAAACCCUGUCUUUCUCAAAAUGAACAUUGGUUAGUCCCAAAAUGUGCUCUCCCUUUAGAAGCUUAUGAAGAUUCUUCAUCCCAACAUGGGCUAGUCGGCGGUGCCAGAGCCAACCCAUGUUAGUCUUAGCAAUUAAGCAAGUGUCGAGUUCAGCUUUAUCAAAAUCUACUAAGUAUAGCUGACCCUCUAACACUCCCUUAAAUGCUACUGAAUCAUCACUUCUUCUAAAGACAGUAACACCUAUAUCCGUAAAAAGACAGUUGUAGCCCAUUUUGCAUAAUUGAGAAACAGAAAGCAAAUUGUAAUCUAAAGAAUCUACAAGAAAAACAUUGGAAAUAGAGUGGUCAGGAGAUAUAGCAAUUUUACCCAAUCCUUUGACCAAACCUUGAUUUCCAUCCCCGAAUGUGAUAGCUCUUUGGGGAUCAUGGUUUUUCUUGUAGGAGGAGAACAUCUUAUUCUCCCCUGUCAUGUGGUUUGUGCACCCGCUAUCGAUGAUCCAACUUGAGCCCCCGGAUGCAUAAACCUACAAAACAAAUUUAGGCCUUGUUCUUAGGUACCCAAACGGUCUUGGGUCCUUUCACAUUAGAAACAAGCACCUUGGGUACCCAAACACAAGUCUUUGACCCCUUGUGUUUGCCCCCAAUAUAUUUGGCAACUACUUUGCCUGAUUUGUUAGUAAGCACAUAAGAAGCAUCAAAAGUCUUAAAUGAAAUGUUAUGAUCAUUUGAUGCAAUAGGAGUUUUCUUCUUAGGCAAUUUAGCAUGAGUGGAUUGCCUAGAACUAGAUGUCUCACUCUUAUACAAAAAAGCAUGAUUAGGGCCAGAGUGAGACUUCCUAGAGUGAAUUCUCCUAAUUUUGUGUUCGGGAUAACCAGCAGGGUAUAAAAUGUAACCCUCGUUAUCCUGAUCCAUGGGAGCUUUGCCCUUAACAAACUUAGAUAAUCUUUUAGGAGGGGCAUUAAGUUUGACAUUGUCUCCCUUUUGGAAGCCAAUGCCAUCCUUGAUGCCAGGGCGUCUCCCAUUAUAAAGCAUACUACGAGCAAAUUUAAAUUUUUCAUUUUCUAACUCAUGCUCGGCAAUUUUAGCAUCUAAUUUUGCUAUAUGAUCAUUUUGUUGUUUAAUCAUAGCAAUGUGAUCAUGGAUAGCAUCAAUAUUAAUAUCUCUACAUCUAGUACAAAUAGUAACAUGCUCAACGGUAGAUGUAGAGGGUUUGCAAACAUUUAAUUCAUCAAUCUUAGCAUGUAACAUAGCAUUCUCAUUUCUAAGAUUGGAAAUUGAAAUAUUGCAAACAUCUAAUUCCUUAGCCUUAGCAAUUAAUUUAUCAUUCUCAUUUCUAAGGUUAGCAAGAGGGGCAUUCAAUUUUUCAAUCUUAGCAAUUGAACUAGCAUUAUCAUUUCUAAGAUUGGCAAUUGAAUCAUCACAAAUAUUUGACUUCUCAACCUUAGCAAUCAAAUUAGCAUUCUCAAUUCUAAGGUUGGAAAUAGUGUCAUGGCAAGUGCUUAGCUCACUAGUUAAUUUUUCACAUUUUUCUAUCUCUAGAGCAUAAGCAUUUUUAACUUUAACAUGCUUUUUGUUUUCUUUAAUUAGGAAGUCCUCUUGGCUAUCCAAGAGUUCAUCCUUUUCAUGAAUAGCACUUAUCAAUUCAUUUAAUUUUUCUUUUUGUUGCAUGUUUAAGUUGGCAAAAAGGGUGAGCAAAUCAUCCUCAUCAUCACUAGAGCUAGCCUUAUCACUAGAAGUUGCAUAUUUAGUGGAAGCUCUAGAUUUUACCUUCUUCUUUUUGUCGUCCUUUGCCAUGAGGCAUUUGUGGCCGACGUUGGGGAAGAGAAGUCCCUUGUUGAUGGCGAUGUUGGCGGCGUCCUCGUCGGAGGAGGAGUCGGUGGAGCUUUCAUCAGAGUGCCAUUCGCGGCAUACAUGGGCAUCGUCGCCCUUCUUCUUGUAGUACCUCUUGUUUUCUCUUCUCUUUCCCUUCUGGUCGUCGCCCCUAUCACUAUCACUUGAUAAUGGACAUUUAGCAAUAAAAUGACCGGGCUUACCACACUUGUAGCAAACUUUCUUAGAGCGGGGUUUGUAGUCCUUCCCCCUCUUUUGCUUGAGGAUUUGGCGGAAGAUCUUGAUGAUGAGCGCCAUCUCCUCAUUGUCGAGCUUGGAGGCGUCGAUGGGGACCCUACUUGGUGUAGAGUCUUCUUUCCUCCUCCUCCGUUGCCUUAAAUGCAAUGGGUUGUGCCUCGGGUACGGAGGAGGAGGCGCCUUGCUCGAUGAUGUUUUUGGAGCCUUUGAUCAUCAAUUCAAAGCUCAUAAAUUUUCCUAUUACUUCCUCGGGAGACAUUAGUUUAUAUCUUGGAUCACCAUGAAUUAAUUGAACUUGAGUAGGGUUAAGAAAUACGAGUGAUCUAAGAAUAACCUUGACCAUCUCAUGGUCAUCCCAUUUGGUGCUCCCGAGGUUGCGCACUUGGUUCACCAAGGUCUUGAGCCGGUUGUACAUAGCUUGUGGCUCCUCCCCUUGGUGAAGCAUGAACUGACCGAGCUCCCCCUCGAUCGUUUCUCUCUUGGUGAUCUUGGUCACCUCGUCUCCUUCGUGCGCGGUCUUGAGUACGUCCCAAAUCUCUUUGGCGCUUUUCAACCCUUGUACCUUGUUAUACUCCUCUCGACUUAGAGAGGCGAGGAGUAUAGUGGUGGCUUGGGAGUUGAAGUGCCGGAUUUGGGCUACCUCGUCCGAGUCAUAACCUUCAUCCCCCAUGGAUGGUUCAUGUGCACCAAACUCAACAAUGUCCCAAAUACUAGCGUGGAGUGAGGUUAGAUGGUGCCUCAUUUUAUCACUCCACAUACAAUAAUCUUCACCGUCAAAAACCGGUGGUUUGCCUAGUGGGACGGAAAGUAAAGGGGUGUGUUUGGAAAUACGAGGAUAGAGUAAGGGGAUCUUACUAAACUUCUUGCGCUCAUGGCGCUUAGAAGUGACGGACGGCGUGUCGGAGCCGGAGGUGGAUGGCGAUGAAGAGUCGGUCUCGUAGUAGACCACUUUCUUCAUCUUCUUUUUCUUCUCGCCGCUCCGACGCGACUUGUCGUGUGAAGGGGAUCCCUUCACCUUGUUGCUGGAUUCUCCGGAUGGAGCCUUCCCAUGGCUUGUGGCGGGCUUCUCACCGGUCAUCAUCUCCUUCUUGGCGUGAUCUCCCGACAUCACUUCGAACGGUUAGGCUCUAAUGAAGUACUGGGCUCCGAUACCAAUUGAAAGUCGCCUAGAAGGGAGGGGUGAAUAGGGCGAAUCUGAAAUUUACAAACUUUAAGCACAACUACAAGCCGGGUUAGCGUUAGAAUUAAUGCGAGUCCAAAAGAGAGGGCGAAAACAAAUCACAAGCGAAUAAGAACGGAUGACACGGUGAUUUGUUUUACUGAGGUUCGGUUCUUGCAAACCUACUCCCCGUUGAUGUGGUCACAAAGACCGGGUCUCUUUCAGCCCUUUCCCUCUCUCAAACGGUCACUUAGACCGAGUGAGAUUCUCUUCUCAAUCAAACGGGACACUAAGUCCCCACAAGGACCACCACAUAAUUGGUGUCUCUUGCCUUGGUUACAAUUGAGUUAGAAUCAAGAAAGAAGGAAGAAGAAAAGCAAUCCAAGCGCAAGAGCUCAAAUGAACACAAGUAUCUCUCUCUCACUAGUCACUAUUUGAUUGGAAUUGUCUUUGGACCUGGGAGAGGAUUUAAUCUCUUGUUUGUGUCUUGUAUUGAAUGCUAUAGCUCUUGUAUGAGGUGUGAAGGCUGAAAACUUGGAUGCAAUGAAUGGUGGGUGGUUGGGGGUAUUUAUAGCCCCAACCACCAAAUGAGCCGUUGGUGGAGGCUGUUGUCGCAUGGCGCACCGGAUAGUUCGGUGGCAGUCCGGUGUGCCACCAGACACUGUCCGGUGCGCCAGCCACGUCACCCAGUCGUUGGAUUCUGACCGUUGGAGCUUCUGACAUCUGAGCCACCAGACAGUUCGGUGGUGCACCGGACAGUCACUGUUCACUGACCGGUGCGCCUUCUGGCUCUGCUCUGACUUCUGCGCGCACUGUAGCGCAUUUAUUGUUCGUUGCAGACGACCAUUGGCGCUACGUAGCCGUUACUCCACUGGCACACUGGACAGUCCGGUGCUACACCGGACAGUCCGGUGAAUUAUAGCGGAGUGGCUCCCAGAAUUCCCGAAGGUGGCAAGUUCAGACUAGAAUUCCCUGGUGCACCAGACACUGUCCGGUGGUGCACCAGACAGUCCGGUGCGCCAGACCAGGGCACACUUUUGUUGCCUUUUGCUCUCUUUGUUUGAACCCUUUCUUGGUCUUUUUAUUGGUUUGCUGUGAACCUUUGGCACCUGUAAAACUUAUAAUUUAGAGUAAACUAGUUAGUCCAAUUAUUUGUGUUGGGCAAUUCAACCACCAAAAUCAAUUAGGAAAAGGUGUAAGCCUAUUUCCCUUUCAGACAGAUAUCCCCUGAGUCCACUAGAAGGCUAGAAAACAUCGCGAAAGGCUUUGGGUCCAUUACUUCGCAAGGCCAUCCCUUCGUGGGCCAGGGGAGGAACCGCCGACGGAAUGGACUGACGCGGGAUUGGAUAGACUCAAGCCCAUACGAUUCAACGAGUUUAAGCAUUAUCCACAACAUUGAUCUAAUUCUCCCGCACAGCACCCUCAGACGUUGGAACUAAAUAAGGAUAAGUCGGUAGGAUUAUAGGAAGAUAAGUUCAGUCGGUUCACUAUUAUUUAGGUGCACAUGUUAUCAUACCCGCAUGUAUCGCCCCACGGUCGAGUAUAUAAGGCCUAGGGGGCACCCCAUCAAAAGACAGGUAAUUCAUCAGACAUCUACUCCAUUCUCUAGCACUCUCCAAACUAGAGAGUUCCCCUGUAACCCACCACAUAAAGAUCCACACCAGGAAGUAGGGUGUUACGCCUCUCUAACCAGCCCGAACCUGUAGAAAAUUGUCUAUCGUCUCUCGUGCACCUAGCACGAACCAUCGAGCUACAGUCAGCAACACCGUCCUACCCAAAAGCACCUCGAGGGGUAACCCCGGGUGCGCGGUCGGGUCCUAAACAUCGACAGCUGGCGUGCCAGGUAGGGGGUGUGUUGUUGAUCCAAGCUAGCUUAAUGGCCAUCAUUUUCCAGCACAAGAUCGCUCUCCGACCUGGAUUCGUGUUCUGCUUCGGAACCAUCUCAUCCGUAGCAGAUGAAGAAGGAAUUCUGCAUCGUAUAGCGGAUCAACCGGAGAAGAAGCCUUCCUCGAAAAUCUCCGAAAAAGCCAGAACGAAGCAGGAAAUAGCGCAACCUCCAGUGCUCCGGGCAAAGACUACCUCCUGCAAGCCAGGAAUAGAGAAUUCGCCUAAUCGAAGAACCCCGUUGUCCACCUCAUCCACGAAAAAAUGGACACGGAUUGCAAGGAGAAAAGAAGCAAAUAAAAUAAAGACUCGUCGAGCUGCUCUUCUGGCACCUUCGCCCUCAAAGGAGAACAGAGAGAAGCUUGUCGUCAUGACAACUCCAUUCUACCCUGAUGUCCUCUUCAUCGGGGGAAGAGUGGAAUCGUCCCCCAUCUCCGACGACGAGCCAACCGUGCCUGGGGAAUAACCUCCUCAGCGAGAAGCUCGCCGACGAAGGAACCGACGCCGGAAUGCUCGGCGACAUCAUGAAGCCGGAGAACGAGACCCAGCGCAGGCGCGUAGCCUGUAUCACGAGAUGAGAUCUCGGAGAUGGGAGAAACUCCUGAUGAACGCGUCUUCAGGGAAAGGAGGAAUUCCCACUGACGUGAUCGUCGGCAGGCUCAAGAGCAAGCCGAGCAGGAGGCGAGACAACGCCGAGAGAACCCUCUCUUCGGACGAAACUUGAACCCCGACUUCGCCCGAGCCAUGAACACACCGAGCGAGGUCGGUGGAGUGUUGGCCCGGAUAGCUGAUGGCCUCCCCCGGACUUCAGACGCUGAGGGCUAUCGGCGGCUGCUCACUCGGACAACUAAUCAUCUUCUGCCUCUCGCUCAUCCUCCGAGCGAUCUACGGCACGCCAUCAAUAGUCGGCGGGACACGCGGAGCUCCAUCAAUGCUUCGCGCGAACAACGACAUGAGAACGAGAUCCGGUGCCGAGAAGAGUAUGAUCGGGAUCAUGGCAUCCCUGCACGAAGUCAGGCCACUAGGGUUGAGUCGGCAACGACUUCAACUGGCGGCACAACCCGGGGACAGUCGAGGCAACACAUCGGCAACUCCCCUCCCCGGGAUCGACACCACAAUCGUUGACAGGAGGACAUGUGUUGAGUAUCUGCGCUCACUCUGUGUCUCAGGGCCAUUCAGUGGCCCCCAAACUUCAAAGUCUCCAACAUCGACAAGUACGAGCCUAAGCAAGACUCGGGAGGCUGGUUGGCUGUCUAUACCACCGCUACUCGGGCCGCUGGGGCAACUGAAGAUGUGAUGACUGCGUACUUGCCCAUCAUCCUUGGGCAAGAUGCGCUGCAAUGGCUACGACACCUACCGCGACACUGCAUCGACGAUUGGAGCGACUUCAGUCGGCGUUUUAUCACCAACUUCCAAUCCCUCUCCGACAAGCCGACGCAGCCAUGGGACCUAAAAUCCAUCAGGUGCCGAGGGGAUGAGACUCUUUGGUUGUACCUUAAAAGGUUUCAGACCAUGAGAAAUCGUAUUCCCGAGGUUGCUGAAGUAGCAGUGAUCGAGGACUUCUACCGAGGAUCUAAUGACUCGGCCUUCGUCCGAGCCAUACUACAAAAGGCGCCGACCACUUCCGAACAGCUGUUCAGGGAGGCGGACCUCUACAUCACCGCCGAUGAGAGUGCCCAGGACCACAUCGGGGGAACGAAGCUCGCUCCAUCUGCACCACGGCGCGACGUGAACUAGCAAACCGACAAGCGCUGGAAGAAGAGGCCUCGUGAAGAAGUCCAUGUCGCUUGACCACCCGUCUCUCAUGCCCGAUGGGCACCCCAUGGAGGCGAAUGAACAUUGGACGACAUCCUCGACACCCAGUGCUCGUACCACAAGGAUAUGCGUCAUACCCUCCGGAACUGCAGAGACUUCAAGCACUCCGUCGGGAAUGGUCGACCCUUCCAACCUCUACAACCUCCCCCACCACGAGGAGGACCCGGAGAACCUCGACAACCUCAGCAGCAGGAAGGGGGAGGAGGCGGAGCGUUCCCGCGCGUCGAUGGAGAAGUCAACGUCAUCUUUGGCGGACACGGGUCACAAGAGAACAAAAGGCAGCGGAAGCUCAACGAUCGACAGAUACUGGUGGCGGCCACCAGUGCUCCCGCCCCAUAUCGAUGGUCAGAACACCCGAUCACCUUUACUCGGGCAGAUCAAUGGCUCAACUUCGAUCAUCCAGGCAAGUACCCGCUCCUCGUCGAUCCGGUGAUCCGAGAGAGCAGGGUAAAGAAGGUGUUGGUGGACGGGGGAAGCAGCAUCAACGUUACCUUCCCCCGGACACUCUUAGGCUUGGGAGUCGCACUCAAAGAGCUCCACGAGUCAGACACUCCUUUUUUCGGCAUUGUGCCGACCGAUGGAGAGUACCCGCUUGGGCACAUUUACAUGCCUGUCACCUUUGGAACUCCGGAAAACUACAGAACCGAGUUCCUGAGGUUCGAGGUAGCAAGCUUCGACUGCGGAUACAACGCCAUCAUCGGUAGGCCAGGGUUGGCAAAAUUCAUGGUCAUUCCACACUAUUCAUACAUGGUAUUGAAGAUGUCGGGACCACAAGGAAUCAUCACCGUGCACGCUGACUUCCAAGGCGCCGCUGAAUGUUUCCGAGUGGCCAUUCAGGUAGCCCUCACCACCAAACCACUGACGACUUCCUCCGCACAGGCGAACUCAAAGCCUGAGGAAGACCUCGCGAUACCUGCGAAUGAAGCUCAAGUCGUGACCUCUAUGCGGUUGACUGAGGAGACAAAGAGAAUCAACCUCAGGUUCGCUGAUGAACGCAAGACUGCCAUCAUCAGCUCCAGCCUGGACAACAAAUAGGAAGGCGCGCUCAUCCAGUUUCUGCAAGAUAACUGAGACGUAUUUGCAUGGCAGCCUGUGGAUAUGCCGGGAGUCCUGAGAGAACUGGUCGAGCACAAACUGAAGGUCUAUCCCCAGGCAAGGCCGAUCCGACAAAAGUUGCAUCGUUUCACGCCUAACAAGAGAGAAGCUAUUCGCGCCGAGCUAGCUCACUUAGUCGCAGCAGGGUUCAUUAGAGAAGUAUUGCAUCCUGAGUGGUUAGCAAAUCUUGUUCUUGUACUCAAAAAGAAUAAAGUGGAUUGGCGCAUGUGCAUCGACUAUACAGAUCUCAACAAACACUGUCCAAAGGAUCCCUUCGGACUUCCUAGAAUAGAUCAGGUGGUGGAUUCGACCGCCGGAUGUUCUAUGUUGUCCUUCCUAGACUACUACUCUGGAUACCAUCAGAUCAGCCUGGCAAAAGAGGAUGAGUAAAAAACAGCAUCCAUUACCCCGUUUGGAGCUUUCUGCUAUACCUCCAUGUCGUUUGGCCUCAAAAAUGCUGGAGCGACUUACCAGAGAGCUAUCCAAACAUGCUUAGCCGAUCACUGGGGCAAGCGGGUAGAAGCUUAUGUUGAUGAUGUUGUGAUCAAAAUAGAAAACUCAGAAAACUUCAUUGAAGAUUUGCAGCUGGUCUUCAACAGCCUGAGGCGAUACCGGUGGAAACUCAACCCAGAAAAAUGUGUCUUUGGAGUACCAGCAGGGAAGUUACUCGGAUUCAUUGUCAGCCACCGAGGAAUUGAAGCUAACCCGGAAAAAAUUGAGGCUAUCAUGAGAGUGGAGGCACCACGAUCACAGAAGAAAGUACAAAGGCUUACCAGAUGCAUGGCAGCUUUGAGCAUAUUCAUAUCAAGGCUAGGCGAGAAAGGUUUCCCAUUCUACAAAUUGCUCAAGAAGGUGGACAAGUUCCAAUGGACCACAGAAGCACAAGAAGCUCUCGAUGCAUUUAAGAAGUUCUUGACCAUGCCACUAGUGCUAAAGCCGCCAUGCCGAGCCACACCAGAUCAGCCGGCGGAAGAUCUGCUGUUAUACAUCUCCUGCACGACUCACGUGGUAAGCACCGCGUUAGUAGUCAAGCGGGCAGAGGAAGGGCACACAUAUCCAGUACAUCAUCUGGUCUACUUCAUCAGUGAAGUUCUGGGACCCUCUAAAAAGAAGUAUCCUCAAGUUCAAAAACUGUUGUACGCAAUAUUUCUAACUGCUCGUAAGCUCCGUCACUACUUUGACGACCACAAAGUCAUAGUAGUCACCGGGUUUCCAAUAGGGGAUAUUCUUCACAACAAAGAAGCCAUUGGAAGAAUAGCUAAGUGGGUCUGCGAGCUGGGAGCUCACGACAUUGAGUUUCGGCCUCGCACAGCAAUAAAGACUCAAGCACUAGUUGACUUCGUAUCAGAAUGGACCGAGCAACAAGUACCAGACAACCCAGAGGCUACAAAAGUAUGGCGAAUGUAUUUCGAUGGCUCGCUGAAGCUGCAGGGAGCAGGCACAGGAAUCCUCUUCAUUUCCCAUGGAGGUGAACAACUUAAAUAUGCUCUUUAGUUAUCAUUCCCAGCAUCAAAUAAUACAGCAGAAUAUGAGGCUUUGAUCCAUGGAUUGAACAUUGUCGUAUCACUGGGCAUUAAGAGGUUGAUGGUAUACGGAGAUUCACUGGUGGUCAUAAGUCAGAUAAAUAAAGACUGGGAUUGCUCGACUGAUUCUACGGACAAGUACUAUAGAUCCGUCUGAAAAGUAGAAGACAAAUUUAAAGGGCUGGAAUUCCAUCACAUGGAAAGAGAUCGCAACGCAGCAGCAAACGCGUUGUCGAAGCUAGGAUCCAGUCGAGCUCAGGUCCCACCCGAAGUUUUCUUCCAAGAAGUGUCACGCCCAAGCAUUCCCACAGAUCAGGCAGAAGAGUGCAACACUUUGAGCCAGCCAGAGUCAGACUCUGAUGACUGGAGAGAGCCUAUCAUCAGGUAUAUAAAGAAUGAGGAAGAACUGGAUGAUAAGGCUGCAGCAGAACGCAUCGCAAGACAGUCGGCCCACUACACCCUCAUAGGGGGCGCACUGUACAGAAGGGGUGCAACAAGAGUCCUCAUAAAGUGCAUUUCCUCGAUUACCAGGAGACAACUACUGGAAGAGAUUCAUGCCGGACAGUGUGGAAUACACGCAGCAUCCAGAACUCUAGUUGGGAAAGUCUUCAGGUCCAGUUUCUAUUGGCCAACAGCAAAGAGUGAGGCAGCCGAGUUAGUCUAGAGAUGUGAAGCUUGCCAAUUCUUGUCAAAGCAACAACAUUUACCAGCACAGCAGCUGUAGACCAUACCUAUAACAUGGCCAUUUGCGUGCUGGGGAUUAGACAUGAUUGGACCCUUCAAGAAAACUCAAGGAGGUUAUACUCACGUGCUGGUCGCCAUCGAUAAAUUCACCAAGUGGAUAGAGUACAAACCCAUUGCUUCUCUAACUUUCGCCAAGGCAGUGGAAUGCAUACAAGAUAUAAUAUUCAGGUUUGGGAUACCAAAUAGCAUCAUAACCAACGUGGGAUCCAACUUCACUAGCUUUGAAUUCUUUGACUUCUGCGAGCAACGAAGCAUCUAGAUCAAAUAUUCAUCCGUAGCACACCCAAGAGCUAAUGGUCACGUGGAAAGGGCUAAUGGAAUGAUACUGGAAGCACUCAGGAAGAAAGUCUUCGACAAGAAUGAAAAGUUCACAGGAAAAUGGAUCAGAGAGUUGCCUUACAUGGUUUGGAGCCUAAGAACUCAACCUAGUCGAGCUCUGCAUGGAAACACCCCUUUCUUCAUGGUCUGUGGUUCUGAGGCAGUGCUACCUGCCGACCUCAGGUUUGGAGCACCAAGGCUGGUAUUGGAAAGCAUAGCUGAAGCAGAAGCUACCAGGCUAGAAGAUAUUGACGUGCUGGAGGAAGAGCGAUUGAAUACAGCAAUUCAGUCAGCCAAAUACCAGCAGACCCUGAGGCGCUAUCAUGAUAAGGCUAUACGGUCCUUUGUAGUAGGAGGCUUGGUCCUUCGCCGAAUUCUAACGGGAGAAGGACGGCACAAAUUGUCACCGCUAUGGGAAGGGUCAUUCAUGGUAUCGAAGGUCACUCGGCCAGGAUCACAUUGGCUUACUCAAAUGGAUGGCACGGAAGUGGUGAAUUCAUGAAAUAUAGAGCAUCUCAGGAAGUUUUACACCCUUAGCAAGAGCUAUCAGAGCAACGUUGUACUCUGUGAUUGGAAAAUACGUCAUCAAUAAAAGUUUUCAUUCUCAAAGGCAUUCAAACUAUUGGUUAUCAAUUGACUUCGGCUUGAUUAAACUUGAAAUCAACACACUUACUCGACUUAGGGUGACCACUAUACCCUACUAACGGAGCCAUCGGCUUAAGUCGGCAAUGACUUAAGACGGUGCAACAUGCUCACGCUUACUCGACUUAGGGUGACCAUUAUACCCUACUAACGGAGCAAUCGGCUUAAGUCGGCAAUCACUUAAGACGGUGCAACAUGCUCACGCCUACUCGACUUAGGGUGACCACUAUACCCUACUAACGGAGCAAUCGGCUCAAGUCGGCAAUGACUUAAGACGGUGCAACAUGCUCACGCUUACUCGACUUAGGGUAACCACUAUACCCUACUAACGGAGCAAUCAGCUUAAGUCAGCAAUGACUUAAGACGGUGCAACAUGCUCGCACCUACUCGACUUAGGGUGACCACUAUACCCUACUAACAGAGCAAUCAGCUUAAGUUGGCAAUGACUUAAGACGGUGCAACAUGCCCGCGCUUACUCGACUUAGGGUGACCACUAUACCCUACUAACGGAGCAAUCGGCUUAAGUCGGCAAUGACUUAAGACGGUGCAACAUGCUUACACUUACUCGACUUAGGGUGACCACUAUACCCUACUAACGGAGCAAUUGGCUUAAGUCAGAGAUGACUUAAGACGGUGCAACAUGCUCACAUCUACUCAUCUUAGGGCAACCACUAUGCCUUACCAGCCAAGCGAUUGGCAUAAGUUAGGAAAAAACUCCAAAACCAGCACGCCACGUUUACUUCCGCAAUCGCUCAAAGAUGAUUGUUGCAUCCUGACAACAGAAACAAAUGUUAUAGUUGUCAGCACCAAGGGCACAUUCUAGUGCCCUAUCCACCGAAUAUCCUAGCACAAUGAUCACACGCACACAUAUGAUUCACAAAUACAUUCAGUAGGGCUGGGCAAAAAACCCGUAACCCGAAACCCGAACCCGGAAUACCCGAACUCGAACCCGAAAUACCCGAAACCCGAAUUUUGUUUGGGAAUUUCGGGUAGCAACUUGCAAAACCCGAAUUUAUUUUGGGUAAUUCGGGUAUCACAAUCGGGUACCCGAAUUACCCAAACUUUCAUGUGUCUUGUACUCAUGUCAUGCUUAAUUAUUAAUUUGUACAUCUAUAAUUAUGUGUAAGUGUGAAUAACUUGUGAUUGUAGAUUGCUUGUGUUUUAUAUGUCCAUGCAUAUCAUUAUUCAAACUAUAGUUUUAUACUAAUUUAAUAUGGUGUAUGUGUUUUUAUGAAACUAACACAAUAGUUCGGGUAGUUCGGGAAUACCCGAACCCGAAAUUCCGGGUACUCAAAUUUUCGGGUAUUGUAAAAUCCAUUGUGAUUUCGGGUAUCAAUUCCUAAAAUCCGAAAUUUUAAAUACCCGAAUUACCCGACCCGAAUUUUUCGGUUAACCCGAACGCCCACCCCUAACAUUCAGUAUCUUCUAAACACGUCACUACGGCGAAACAUCUCUAUUUGACAAUAUCUUUCGCAGGGGCAAUUGAGCAAGAAGGGCGACUCGAGGCAUCAGGCGCAGCUUUCACGUCGGCAACAAUGUCAUCAGGAACAACUACACCGGGCCUUCUCAUCAAGAUCCGCCCCUGGCGAAUGGCUUUGUUCAUAGCCUUGUCGCGCUGAGCCUUCAGAAUGGCGCAGUGGUCCUCUGCAACUUUGGUAGCCAGUCGAGCGGCCUCUAGCUCCUGGGCGACUAACUUCUUGGAGGCACGCAGAUCUUUGACGAUGGAAUCCUUGCUUGACACUGACUGUCUAAGCUACAGGACCUCAUCUUGGGACACUUGAAGUUCGCGACGAUGAUGAUCCAGAUCUGACAUAGUAAAGCGAUGGCUUCUCUCCAAGAUGGUUAAGGAAUUGCUGGCAUCACGAUACAACCUAUCCAGAUUGUCACGAGAAGCUGCAAGUGCUCGUCUCUCCUCCUAUAAACAAGAAUCAACUUUUAAACAUCCAUUAAACAGUAAGCAAGGCAGAGCCAAAUAAGUAAGUUUACCUCAUGAGCUGACCUUUCAGAGUCAAGCUGAGCAUUGAGAGAAGAAUUCAAAGAAUGUGCGUCGUCCAAAGAAGGAGAAACCCAAACCAGGUUGAUCUGACCUUGAGAAUACUUCUCUUCAAGAUUAGAGUACCGUCAGGUUGAGUCGGCUUGAUGUUGAAGACAUUUUCCCUCAAACUCAGAGCACCACCAGGGCAUAUCUGACAAAGCAGUCAUGGAGGGAUACAUGGUUAAAAACAAAAGUUGAUCAAUCAGCCAAGGAAGAAACAAAGUUACCAACCAGCAUUUGACGCCUUCAAAUCAGCUAUCUGUUUUUGAAGCAGCAAUGGGUUCCACUGCGUCAGAGACAGAGCCCCUUCUGGGAUAGUGGCACCAUGUGAUCUCAACUGAGCGGACAUUCCGUCGACCAAAGCCUGUGAUCAAAGACAAAUGAGUAUAGCGAAGAUGAUUUACCAGGAGGAACAGUAAAACGAAAAGAGCUGAGUUACCUGAAGAUUGGAAAGAAUGAGGGUAAUCCCAAGUCAUGAGAAGCUGCGUUGUAGCUCGAUGAAGGAAGAUCAACCGGAACAAUUUGAAGAACAUUGUCAGGGGUUGACUCAACCCCACUAGCAGAUAUCAGAAUUCUUGCAUCUGGCUCGCUGAUCUCCAAGGCGACUCGCUCGCUCGAAGUUAAAGAAGCAUGCAUCACCACCACUUUAUCAGAUCAUGAUGGAGACGACCCGACAUGGACAUCCAUGGAGGUGUGGGAAGGAGAGCUCACUUGGACACCCUUGGGGGCUGGGUUGUAGCUUGCGCCACCCACCAGAGCUGGAUCAUUACCGGCAAUACCCUCGGGGGCUGGGUUGCAGCUCGCGCUACCCACUAGAGCCGGAUCACUACCGGUGACACCCUUGGGGGCUAGGUAACUGCCAGCAUCACCCUCGGGGGCUGAGUUUUCUGCAACAGCCACCUCUAAGGCUGAAGGAUCCUCAGUCACCUCCAUAGGAGUCGAGCAAUCCUAACCAACUUCUUGACAUCGAAGACUGCCUUCCAAAGUCGACGAUGCGCGAGACACUUCUCGGGAUACCUCUAAUCCCACGUCUGGAAUUUCAGAGCAAACAUCCAUCAUAUCACCAACAGUCGGCUCCGACAGUAUAUCUUCAGGAACGACAUCCUCAAGGGCCCGAUCAAAAUCUGCUAUGGACAACUCUUGAAGGCUAACAAGAGCAGACAGAGCCGGAGAAGGAAUAUAACUAUCCCCCCUACUACCUCUGUAACGCCGGCUAUUCUUACGAAUUAGCGGAACUUCUUCUUCCUCUUCUUCGUCCACAUCAAAAAUACGGACAAUAGUCGGUGCACGGACACACCCAUUGGGUUCAGCUUCUGCACGGUCACCCCCAUUAUGUUCAGCUUCUGCACGGUUACACCCAUUGGGUUCAGCUUCAACAAGGUCACACACAUUGGGGACAACUGGUGCAAGGUCACACCCAUUGGGGUCAACUUCAACGUGUACACCACCAUUGGGAUCAACCUCAGGAAGAACCUCUGCUGGUACUUCUUCACAAACAGGAACAGAAGGGCCAGCAUCCCGGUCCAAGCAUGAUAGUCGUCGGAGCCGCCUCUUUUCUUCUUCUCCUCCUCAAAAGGCGCAGUCGGACGGCUAACCUGGCGAGAACGUUUUGGGCGAGUACCCUUAGGCUUUCGGGUGUCCACUGUUUUGUUAACCUCUUUUCCAACCGUAACAGCCAUCGGUUCAGCAGCGGCCGAGUCAGAAGAUUCUCCAGCCAACAUAUUGAGUACAACAUCUAUUUCUGCAUCAUCCGGACUUGCCGGCAUCUCAAAGUGAACUUGCUUCUCAUCAUUGGGAAGAUCACGAAGAGGAGCAACCAGAGCCUCAAUGUCUUCAGGAGAGGGUCGCACUCUAAGACCCAGACCACUAUCACUGGAAGGAGGGUUGGACACGAAAUUGAAAAAUGACCUAGGAGGUGACAGAUUCCAAGCAGAAUAAGCAACAGGAGCACCAACAUUUGAUACCUUGCCCCUCAGGAUCAUGUCUAGUCGGCUCACUAGAUCCUCAGUAGGAAUUUUCCUGUCGGUAACCCGAGUUGAAUCAGUAAUACCACUGUACAAGUAAGCUGGAUACGCCCUAUCUUUCAAAGGCUGAAUAUUCUUGAAAACAAAGUCAGCAACUACAGCUUCGGCAGUCAGACCUCUUUCCUUCAGCAGACAGAUCUCAGCAAGCAGAACCCUAGCCUCCGUCACCUCCAAAGCAGUAGGAGACUCAACCCAACUUAGAGUGCGUACAUCUGGCUGUCUCCCCGACCGAGGGGGGAGGGACUUGCCGUGGUUUUCCAUAAUAAACCAUUCAAGGCGCCACCCUUUAAUGUUGUCCUUGAGAGGAAUGUCAAGGUAUUCUGUCUUCCUCCCGCGGCGCAUCUCCAGACUUGCACCACCAACGAGCUGGUGCUGCCCCCAGCCAUCCCAGGCCGAUAGUGAUACAAAUACUUCCAUAAUCCGAAAUGAGGAAGAAUUCCGAGGUAGGCCUCACACAGAUGUACAAACAUAGAAAUUUGCAAGAUGGAAUUGGGAUUCAGGUGAGUCAGGUUUAGAUUGUAAAAAUCGAUGAUGCCGCGGAAGAAGGGAGAGAUGGGAAGAACAAGACCGCAGAUGAGAAAAGGAACAUAGACAACGGAUUCGUGGGUAUCUUCUGUCGGAACAGUGACCCCACGACAAAUCCACCAAGAGCAGAGCUCUUUUGGAGGAAGAACUCCAACAUCAACAAGGUGGAGGAGAUCCGAUUCUGACACAACAGACAUGUGGUUACCUGCAAACGACAACUGACUGUUGGGAUCGAGGGGAGGAAUGACCACCGCACCAGAAUUCUGGUUCUUCCGCUUAGGCGCCAUUGGAAUCUCACCGGUGGGUUGAACAAGGGCGAAAUCAGAGGGAAACAAAGAAGUGGUUUGAGGCGAAAAUGUGAAGUUAGGGCUCAUAAAUCAGAAGCGUGCGGUGACGUGAUAUAAAUGGGAUUUUCCUAGGUUGGGCUCCAUUUCUAAAAGAUGCCAAGUCAUCACUCGGGAAAACAAGAUUUCCGACAUAACUCGGUCGUUACCUCUAAAACACCGACGUCAUCAAGCACCACUCGGUUGUUACCUCUAAAACGCCGACAGAGUCUGUCAUAACUCGACUGUUACCUCUAAAACGCCGAUGUCAUCAAGCACCACUCGGUGGUUACCUCUAAAACGCCGGUAGAGUCUAUCAUAACUCGACCGUUUUCUCUAAAAUAAUGCCAGCAGAACCAAACAGGACUCAGCAGUUACCAGUUAUUAGUUGGUCAUUAUUUCUAAAAACGCCAGCAACGCUAAGCGCGAAGACAAACUAUCAAUUGACUAUAAAGGAAGAACGACGGAAAAGCAAAAGACUGCUCGAAACAAGCUGAAUUUUUAUUCAAUAUAUGGAGGAGGGAAGUUUUUCUACAAACUUAAAGACCAACUCAUUAUGAGUCGGCCUUUUUUCCCUUUCUCACUACAUUACAUUACUACAUCACUACACUAUACUACUAACUACUACUACAUUAUUCUGCUGUUGCUACUACUACUACUACUACUACUACUACUACUACUACUAAUUACCUAUACUAAUAUUUAAACCAGUGGCGAUUUGCCACUCGCCUUGUUGCUGCCACCGCUGCCCUUGCCGUCGUCGUCGCCCUUGUCGCUGUUGCUUCCGUCGCCCCUGUCGUCGCCGUCGCCAUCAUCGCCGCCAUCACCUCCAUCGCCGCCAUCGCCCUCGUCGUCGUCGCUCCCCUCCUCGGACGAGUCGGAGGAGUUCUCCUCAUCCGAAGAGACCUCCGACUCAUCUGAGCCCUUGAGCCCGGAGCGCUCGACGGCCCGGAUGUACGUCCACACUUCGGCGGCGAUCCCCUGGGAAUCGUCCGAGUCAUCGGACGACACCGGGGGAGAGGCGUAGACCGGCGCCCCCUCGGACUCGGAGGAAAACUCCUCCGAGUACUGGGGGUCCCUAAAGUCCUCUGAGGGGGGACUCGUCUCGCGCUUCCGCUUGUCGCCGGAGUGGUGCGACGAACUUCCACCCUUCUUGUUCUUGCCCAUGGUUUAUUGGAAGAGAAAAGAAAAGUGGGAAAACAAGCAACAAAUGGCCAGAAGAUGUGUGAAGACACUAGGGAGGCAGACAGUCUAUUUAUAGAGGUCGGAAGCAACCGUUCAUCUCCUACCACGGUCACCGAUCAGUCGCUAGUAUUCAAUAAGCAAUUCAAAUUGUCUGAAAACAAGUCAGGCAGCAGACGCCGUUUCACAUAACACGACACCAUUUGGACUAAGGUCAACUGCUUGGACGAUAUGAUUACGCCCCACGGUCACGUCAAGUUACUACUCAAAGAUGGUCUGCUAAAUGCUCAGUGUACCAAGCCGUCCCUCGGUUACACCCAUUGGGGGGACGUUCAAGAAUUUUCAAUAGAUUUUCCCAAGCAGUCACAUCUAUACAGUAUACGCAAUGAUUGGGGUAAUCCCAAGUCAUUAGAAGCUGCGUUGUAGCUCGAUGAAGGAAGAUCAACCGGAACAAUUUGAAGAACAUUGUCAGGGGUUGACUCAACCCCACUAGCAGAUAUCUGAGAGCACCUAGAGGGGGGUGAAUAGGUGAUCCUGUAAAAAACUUGAAACUUAAUGCCACAAAACUUGAUUAGGAGUUAGCACAAUAAAGCCAAGUGGCUAGAGAGGAGUUCUUGCAAGACACGAUAACCACAAAAAGAUCAACACAGAUAGGCACAGUGGUUUAUCCCGUGGUUCGGCCAAGUCCAACACUUGCCUACUCCAUGUUGUGGCGUCCCAACGGACAAGGGUUGCAAUCAACCCUUCUCAAGCGGUCCAAAGACCCACUUGAAUACCACGGUGUUUUGCUUUGUUUACUAUAUCUCGCUUGCGAGGAAUCUCCACAACUUGGAGCCUCUCGCCCUUACAAUUUGAUGUUCACAAGAAGCACGGAAGUAAGGCUGGGAUGAGCAACGCACACAAGACACAAAAACAGAGCACACACACGCACACAAGUCACAACUCGAGCUCACAACACAACCCAAAGAGUUCUCUACUCAAAUGGAGCUCUAGUUGCUAUCACAAAGAAUCGAAUGCGCGGAAUUGGUGUCUUGGUGCUUAGGAAUGCUUAGAGAAUGCUUGGUAUUGUCCUCCAUGCGCCUAGGGGUCUCUUUUAUAGCCCCAAGGCAGCUAGGAGCCGUUGAGAGCAUUCCAGGAAGGCAAUUCUUGCCUUCAGUCGCCUGGCGCACCGGACAGUCCGGUGCACCACCGGACACAGUCCGGUGCGGAUUUCUUUCCUUCUUUGGCGAAGCGGACCGUUGGAGAUUCAGAGCCGUUGGCGCACCGGACACUGUCUGGUGCACACCGGACAGUCCGGUGCCCCCUUCUGACUGUUGGCUCUGCCACGCGCCGCGCGAGGAUUACACGGCCGACAGUUGGCCCGGCCGACUGUUGGCUCACCGGACAGUCCGGUGCACCACCGGACAGUCCGGUAAUUUAUAGUCGUACGCCGCCGACGAAACCCGAGAGCAGCCAGUUCGCCAGAGCCAGCCUGGCGCACCGGACACUGUCCGGUGUACCACCGGACAGUCCGGUGCACCCAGACUGCGCAGAGUCUUGGCUGUUCAGCCAAGUCUUUUCCAAAUUGGUCUUUUCCUGUUUCUAGCACUUAGACACAAUAUAUUAGUCUCCAAAACAAUGUACUAAGUCUUAGAAACAUACCUUUACUCUUGAUUUGCACUUCUUAAGUCUUUGGCACAAGUAUUACUCAAAGCAUUUGUGUGGAGCACUUAAUCACCAAAAUCUUAUAGAAAUGUCCCAAGGGUACAUUUCCCUUUCAAUAUCAGAAUUCUUGCAUCUGGCUCGCCGACCUCCAAGGCGACUCGCUCGCUCGAAGUUAAAGAAGCAUGCAUCACCAUCACUUUAUCAGAUCGUGGUGGAGACGACCCGACAUGGACAUCCAUGGAGGUGUGGGAAGGAGAGCUCACUUGGACACCCUCGGGGGCUGGGUUGUAGCUUGCGCCACCCACCAGAGCUGGAUCAUUAUCGACAAUACCCUCAGGGGCUGGGUUGCAGCUCGCGCUACCCACUAGAGCCGGAUCACUACCGGUGACACCCUCGGGGGCUGGGUAACUGCCAACAUCACCCUCGGGGGCUGGGUUUUCUACAACAGCCACCUCUAAGGCUGAAGGAUCCUCAGUCACCUCCAUGGGAGUCGGGCAAUCCUGACCAACUUCUUUACAUCGAAGACUGCCUUCCAAAGUCGACGAUGCGCGAGACACUGUUCGGGAUACCUCUAAUCCCAUGUCUGGAAUUUCAGAGCAAACAUCCAUCAUAUCGCCAAUAGUCGGCUCCGACAGCAUAUCUUCAGGAACGACAUCAUCAAGGGCCCGAUCAAAAUCUGCUAUGGACAACUCUUGAAGGCUGACAAGAGCAGACAGAGCCGGAGAAGGAAUAUCACUAUCCCCCGUACUACCUCUGUAACGCCGGCUAUUCUUAUGAAUUAGCGGAACUUCUUCUUCCUCUUCUUAGUCCUCAUAAAAAAUACGGACAAUAGCCGGUGCACGGACACACCCAUUGGGUUCAGCUUCUGCACGGUCACCCCCAUUGGGUUCAGCUUCUGCACGGUUACACCCAUUGGGUUCAGCUUCAACAAGGUCACACACAUUGGGGACAGCUGGUGCAUGGUCACUGUUGGGGUCGUGCUUCGGUAUGCCGAAGGUCUCACACGAAGAAGCAGCUUCGGCCAAAGUCGUUUCUAAGAGAUGGCCGAAGGUCCCUUUUCAUGGAGCUUCGGCGUUUUAAACCGACAUAGAGGCAGAAUGACCUUUUUAUACAUGUAUGUCCGAGUCAAUGUUGUAAACUUCCGCAAGGGGCAUAAUUGUAAUUUGUCACAGGCUGCGACCUGUGUCUAUAAAUAGAUGAACAGUACCUCUGUACUGUUCACGCGAACUUGCUUUUGGCCUUCGCAUCACAUUCGUACUUUUUGCCUUCCGCAAGACCGAAGGUACAUUUGUACUUCAAAGUCAUUUAUAUUCAUUAAUACAAGUAGAGAUAAUUCUAUGAUAAUAUUUACAUGUUUAUUUCAUGAUUUAUGUGAAUGCUUUAUUCUUCGUUGUUGUGCUUACGAAGGUAUGUUCUUUGUAACCUUCGUCCGAGAUGCUAUAUAUCCCGAAGGGAUAUAUCGUUAUGAAGGACGAAGGACCUUAAUACUUAACAUUUUCCGUGUUGCCUUGUUCUUAAUUCGAAGCAUUUGAGAACAAGUCCCCAACAUUGGCGCCCACCUCCGGUCAACUCACUUCCACCUUUCUGAGCUGAUGGCUUCGUUCAACACUCAAGCUGGAGCUGCUUCGGCUUCGAAGCUGGUGCUCCCGAUAACAGGCGGUUCUUGCUCAGAGCCAGCUAACAAAAAGCAGAAGAAGGAGGCUCAGAGAAGGGUGCAGCAUGUUGGAGUGCAGGGACCCUUCAUUAAGUCAAAAUGGUCUCACAUUCCAAUUACCUUCUCUCAGGAAGAUCUUCAGCUCAAGGAUUAUCCUCACAAUGAUGCUAUGGUCAUUUCUUGUGUGAUCAAAGGGUUUCUGGUUCACAAUGUCCUAGUUGACACAGGCAGUGCAGCUGACAUUAUAUUUGCCAAAGCCUUCAGACAGAUGCAAGAGCCUGAAGACAAGAUUCAUGAUGCUACGCACCCUCUUUGUGGCUUCGGAGGGCGGCAGAUUGUGGCACUCGGGAAGAUUACCAUGCCGGUAACCUUCGGAUUUGUUAAUAACACAAGGACUGAGCAAAUUGUGUUUGAUAUUGUUGACAUGGAAUACCCCUACAACGCCAUCAUUGGUCGUGGUACCCUAAAUGCUUUUGAAGCAAUUCUUCACCCAGCUUAUCUCUGCAUGAAGAUACCUUCGGACCAAGGGCCUAUUGCUAUUCAUGGGAGUCAGGAAGCUGCCAGAAGGGCCGAAGGAAGCUGGAUUGAUUCCAAGGCAAUCCAUAAUAUAGAUGGAGUUGAAGCUUGUGAACAGUACAAGUUCAGGAGGGAAAAAGCAGCUUCGGCUGAUCAGCCGAAGCCCAUGCUGCUGUGUGAGGAUAUAGCAGAGCAGAAGGUGCUAUUGGGCUCGCAAUUAUCUGAAGAUCAAGAGAAAACCUUGAUAAGGUUUUUAUUCAACAAUAAAGAUGUUUUUGCAUGGUCAGCCAAUGAUCUUUGUGGAGUGAAUCGGGAUGUUAUUGAACAUUCGCUCAAUGUUGACCCAUCCUUCAGACCCCGCAAGCAGAGGCUUCGGAAAAUGUCUGAUGACAAGGCCGAAGGGGCUCGCAACGAAGUAAAAAGACUCCUAAGUGCAGGAGUUAUCAGAGAAGUGAAGUAUCCAGAAUGGCUAGCUAACACUGUUAUGGUGAAGAAGGCCAAUGGAAAGUGGAGAAUGUGUAUUGAUUUCACAGAUCUCAACAAGGCUUGUCCGAAGGAUGAGUUCCCGCUGCCAAGGAUAGACUCUUUAGUUGAUGCAGCAGCUUCUUCGGAACUCAUGAGUCUCCUGGAUUGUUACUCAGGUUAUCAUCAAAUCUGGAUGAAAAAGGAGGAUGAGCCGAAGACUAGUUUCAUAACCCCAAGUGGUACAUAUUGCUAUCUUCGGAUGCCUGAGGGGCUUAAGAAUGCUGGAGGGAGUUUCAGCAGGAUGACUGCGAAGGUUCUCCAAUCUCAGAUAGGCAGAAAUGUGUUGACCUAUGUUGAUGACAUUAUUGUAAAAAGCACGAAGCAAGAAGACCAUAUUGCUGAUCUGCAGGAGACCUUCGCCAGCUUCAGACAAGCUGGUCUGAAGCUGAAUCCAGAAAAAUGUGUCUUCGGAGUAAAGAAGGGUAAGUUCCUUGGAUGCUUGGUUUCAACAAAGGGAAUUGAAGCUAACCCAAAUAAAAUCGAAGCUAUACUUCGAAUGGAGCCACCAACCACAAGAAAGGGGGCCCAAAGAUUGACAGGAAGACUGGCUUCUCUUAACAGAUUUAUAUCCAGAUCAGCGGAAAGAAAUCUACCCUUCUUCGAGGUGCUAAAAUCAGCUGAAGUCUUUCAAUGGGGCCCAGCUCAACAAAAAGCUUUCGAAGAACUCAAGCAAUACUUGAUAGAUCUAACAACAUUAACUCCACCAAUGCCAGGGGCUCCUCUGUUGUUGUAUGUGGCAGCUUCGCACUCAGCAGUAAGUGCGGCACUUGUGCAGGAGAAGUUUGAUGGACAAAUCAAGAAGCAGGUCCCAGUAUAUUUUGUAUCUGAGGUCCUUAGUGUCUCAAAGAAAAAUUAUACAGAACUGGAGAAGGUGUUGUAUGCCGUUCUAAUGGCAUCCAGGAAGCUUCGGCAUUAUUUUCAGGCAUAUAAUAUUAUUGUUCCUUCUUCGCAGCCGUUGAAAGAUAUCAUGAGAAAUAAAGAAGCUACUGGCCGAAUUGGAAAAUGGGCUGCGGAGCUUAAUGAAUUUUACAUUGAUUAUGUGCACAGAUCCUCGAUUCAGUCUCAAGCAUUGGCAGAUUUUAUUGCCGACUGGACGCCAGGGGCUCAGGGCGAAGAAGCGAAUAAAGAUGCCGAAGCAUGGACAGUGUUUUGUGAUGGCUCCUGGGGAAUCUUCGGAGCAGGAGCAGCUGCUGUUUUGGUUUCACCGUCCAAGGUUAAAACUUGCUAUGCAGCAAGACUGGACUUCAGCUGCACAAAUAAUAUUGCUGAGUACGAAGCCUUGCUCCUGGGUCUUCGGAAACUAAAGGCGAUGGGGAUCAGGAGGGCGAUCCUUAAAACUGAUUCUCAGAUUGUUUCGGGUCAUAUUGACAAAAGUUGCAAGGCUAAAGACCCGAAGCUUGAAAAAUACCUAGACACAGUCCGAAGGAUCGAAGCUUCCUUCGAAGGAUUUUCUGUUAAGAAUAUCCCUCGAGGGCAAAAUGAACAUGCUGAUUUGUUAGCCAGGUCUGCAGCACAGGGGCUGCCGCUACCUUCGGAUGUAUUCUUCGAAACAAUAAAGGCACCUUCAGUGGAGUUACUUGAAAGAGCAGUUCUUACUAUUUCUCCUGUGUACAGUGAAGAUUGGAGAACUGAAAUAAUUUCUUACCUUCAGGGCAACUUCCUAUCAGAUGACGAAGCUUAUAAUAAAAGAAUAGAGGCAAGAGCUCGUCCGUAUAUCAUUAUAGAAGGGGAAUUAUACAAGCAUGGAGUUUGUGCCCCGCUGCUCAAGUGCUUGUCUAGAGCCGAAGGUAUAGAGUUGAUGAAGGAGAUACAUGCAGGCCUUUGUGGAUCCCACAUCGGAUCCAGGCCGUUACUUGGAAAAGUGUUCCGUCAAGGAUUUUAUUGGCCGAAGGCAGCUUCGGAUGCAGCUGAGUUAGUUCAAAAGUGCGAAGGUUGUCAGAAAUGUGCAAGAGAUCAAAAACAACCUUCGUCUUUGACACAGCUAAUACAACCCAUCUGGCCAUUGCAAAGGUGGGGCCUCGAUUUGCUGGGCCCAUUACCACCGGCUCAAGGCAAUCUGAAAUAUGUUGUAGUUGCUGUGGAAUAUUUUUCCAAGUGGAUUGAGGCGAAGCCAUUAGCUACAAUAACUUCGGCUACUGUCCAAAAAUUUUUCUGGCAGAAUAUUGUCUGUCGCUUCGGAGUGCCGAAGGCUAUAACUGUAGAUAAUGGAACACAAUUCGACUCCGAAGAAUUCAGAAAUUUUUGUGAUCAAAUUGGCACGAAGAUCCACUUUGCGUCAGUCAGGCACCCGGAGUCGAAUGGGCUUGUUGAAAGGGCCAACGGCAUCAUAAUGACAGGAAUAAUGAAGCUAAUCUUUAAUCAACCAAGGGGAAAGUGGCCAGAUCAGCUUACCAAAGUGGUAUGGAGCCAUAACACAACAACAUCAAGAUCUACAGGCUUUACCCCAUUUAAGUUGUUAUUUGGUGACGAAGCAAUAACCCCGGAAGAAGCCAAAGCUGGAUCAAUAAGAGUGGUAGCUUCGGCAGAAUCAGGUCCCGAAGAUACUUGUCUCGUGGAAAAAGAUGCCUUAGAAGGGAUCAGGCUUCAGGCCGUGGAGAAUAUCAAUAAGUACCAGGCUGAAACAGUUAAAUGGCGAGAUAGAAAGGUCCGGCUAAAAAAUAUUGAGCCAGGACACUUGGUGCUUCGGAGAGUGGCCAAUCCGGAUACAGUGGGCAAAUUGCAACUGAAAUGGGAAGGGCCUUUCUUAGUAGCAUCUUCGUCAAGGCCUGGUUCGUACAGACUGAAGGACAUGGAUGGCAAUGAAAUUCCAAGAUCUUGGAAUGCGGAUGAGCUUCGGCGGUUUUAUGUAUAACUCGAUGUAAUUUUGACUUUUCUUUUCUUUUUCAUGGCACCCUUUUCCUUUCUAAAGGGGGAGAAAGGUUUUUAAUGGGGCCAUCAUAUGUAAUUUCCUUUUUAGUUUUAUAAGAGCAAAAUCCCCCAAAGAAUGUAAAUGUAAAAGCUGAGAGCGCACCAUCGAGUGCCGAAACUAAAAAAGAGAAGAAGCUCCAAAGACGUCCCUAAGGGGAUGCAGAGCUCACAGCGAAAAGUCAACGCUGAUUCCGCCGAAAGUAAAAGGCGAAGAAGCUCCAAAGUCGUUCCUAAGGGAAUGCAGAGCUUAUACCGUCUAAGUAAAAGACGAAGAAGCUCCAAAGACGUCCCUAGGGGGAUGCAGAGCUUACAGCGAAAAGUCAACGCUGAUACUGCCUAAGUAAAAGGCAAAGAUGCUCCAAAGUCGUUCCUAAGGGAAUGCAGAGCUGACGUGUGUUUGCUCCUAAGAAAAUGAUGGAUGAGUGUGGCUUCGGACAUACGCUUCGGACAUUCAUUUGCACAUUACAUCAUGGCAUUUGCAUGCAUAAGCAUUCAUUCAUAGCAUUUGUGUUCCUAAAUGGUUGCUUCGGCACAGAGAAAAGUUUCGGAUAAAUGGUUUGUUAUGAUUCGUUAUGUAAAAGAAAAGUUUCGAAGAAGUGGUUUUUUAUGAAUCGUUGUGUAUAAGAGUAGCAGUCUUUUAUGUUUUGUUAUGUAAGGAAAAGCUUCGGCAGAUAAGAGUAGCAGUCUUUUAUGUUUUGUUAUGUAAGGAAAAGCUUCGGCAGAUAAGAGUAGCAGUCUUUUAUGUUUUGUUAUGUAAGGAAAGGCUUCGGCAAAAAGAGGAAGCGGCCUUUUAUGCUUCGUUGUGUACGAAAAGAAGGGAAGGUGUUUUUUCGCCUUCGGCUCAAAAAACUGAUUUCGUCCACAUCAAAGCACCUCAAUCGAAGGGUAAGAAUAUAUUACAAGGUAUGUACAAAGUUCCUUGAAGAACAGUUUAAUUCUAUUUACAAGAGUUGUUACAAAAUUAUCCUGAGUUUUUCUAAAGCACACUUCUGCUAGUCUUCAUUAAGCUUCAGCUUCGACGACAACUUCGGCGACAUAUCCUAGGCAUCAUCUUCACCUUCGUCAUCCUACAUGAGUCAAGGAAUCAUAAGAAUCAAGCCCAAAGGAAAAGGUAAGCACGAAAUGUCAUUUCUUACUGGUUCAAGAUGACUUCGGGCUUCGUCUCCAGCUUUCUCUCGCCCGCCCUUUGUCCAUACCAUUUUUAUAAAUCUAUUGGAGAUACUUCGGGCGAGGUCGGGCAUAUCAUCCAGGAUUGAUGAAGAUAAGGUGAAGUUGGGCCUGUUGACAACCUUUCCAUGUUCGCAGCCGGCCUUCAGAAAUGCAGCAGCGGUACCCCGAGAAGCUACCCAGGCACAGAAGUCGCCGUGCCCGGCUAUAACUUCGUCAAGCUCUUCGAUUUCAGCUUCAAUAUGAUCGAAGGCCUGGGGUAAAUUUUCCGCCGAAGGGUUAAAUUUCCCACUGCUGGCUCCAACAGAGUAAAAUAUCUUCUUUAAUCGUCCAAUACAAUUAUUGCCAAAGUUCAAGCAUUUGUCUUGAAGGCUUGUUAAUGCUUUCUUCAAUUCUGAGCUGGUCUGGACUUCGGCUUUAAGCUUCGAAUUCAGUUCUAGCUUCUCCUGAUCAAAUUGUUUUGAUUGAUUGAUAAGCUUCGAAUUUAACUCUAAUAUUUUAGCCUCAGUUUCAGCCAGCAAGCCUUCGGUCGAUUGGAGCUCGAAGUCUUUCUUUUCAAUGAUGGCAGAUUGCUCUUUUAUUUUGCUUUCCAAGUUUUCAAUUAUAGCUUCGUGCUUUUUGUCCUCCAAGUCUUGUUGCAUCUUCAGAGCUUUGCUCAGUAGCAUGCUCUGAACAGAAACAACUUAUGUUAAGUAAUAUUUUCAUUGUUAACGGCAAUAAAAACCAUAGAAAAAGGUUGUUUACCUUGAAGUUAGAAUAAAACAAGCUGCCGACGAUAUGUUGUCGUCGGUAGCGGCUGAUGUCUGUCUCUAACUUCGGAAAACCGAUACUCUUCGAUAGAGUACAGAUUACCUUAGCUCCAGUCUGGUCUCGAAUACAGCCUAGUUUUUCAUCAUCUACACCCCCAAAUAGAAGGGCUCCUGGCUUGUAGCCGCAAGAUUUGGCAUAGUCUUUGAGUUCUUCUAUUUCGUCCUUCGUCAGUUUCUGCCCAAUUAGAUUCUGGAAAGAAUAGGCUUCGUCGUCCGGAGUUUCUUCGACUAUUUCUUUCCCUUUCCCUGGCACUGUGGCCAGGAUUUCUUCAGUAACGGUGGCAGCUUCUUCAAAGUUUUCCGUCAAAAUUUUGUCAAUAUUUUCAAGAGUAGUUUCUAAAUUUACAUCUUCGGGUGUGGCAGCUUCGGUAGCCGCGACUUCCGAAGCUCUACCUUCAGCAGCUGCCGUUUUCUGAAUUGACAACCUAGGUGGAGUUUUGUCGAUAACCUCAGUUACCGCAAUAAUUCUUUGCCGUUUGGGUUUGUUUAUCUUCGGUUGAUCCGGCUCGUCCACCUUUUCAAAAAGCUUCGUCAGUUGGAGCCCUAGUGGACUUAGCUUCGUAGGCAUGGGUUCAGUCAUUACCUUUAAAAUUUCCUCCACGUCGCUGGUAGAAGGCGGUGUGGGGGUCUCCUCUUCUUCGGGUGAUUUGCGCUUCGGAGCAGAUAUUUUUCUUUUCUUGAGAACUUUCUUCUCCUUUGCUGGUAUUUCUUCAUCCCUGAUCAGAGCUUCGGCUACUCUCUUUCUUUUGAGGCCCUCGGCGCCCUUGUUCAAUUGUUCGUAGUCUGGGUAUUCGAAGCCUAGGGCGUCGAGCACUCGGUUCAGCCUUCGUUUCGGUCGGGCACCGAAGGCUGCUGUCAUUAGUUGAUCCUCUUUUUUGGAGUAAUUCCCCAGGAUUUCGUUGCACAUCACCUCAACAGUGUCUAACCAUUCUUUGCAGGGUUUUUUGAAGAACUUCUUGAACUUGAAGUAAUAGGGAAGCCGGACAAGCUCCCCCUUCUUCUUCUCUCCCUCCAGCUUCGGCAUCUCCCACUCUUUUAGAGUAGGGAAAACUCUGAAUGCCAAGAACUCUUGAACUAGAUCCCUGGUGCCAAUAUGUUCUGAGAUAAUUUCAAAUUCACCCAGAGCAGCCCAGGUGGGACCUUUUAGGUCGCCAAUGCGGCAUUGUGGCCUUGUCUCUCCGAAGAUUAACUCCAGAGGGCUUUGUACCAAUUUUUCUUUGUCUUCAUCGACUUUUACAUAAAACCACUCAGAUUUCCAACCUGCUGGCCAUUUGCUUCGAUAGCUGAUGACAGGACACUUUGUUGUCUUCCGGUAGGCAAAAUUAUAGCAACCGAAAUUAUCAUGUAGCCCAUCUUUUCUGGCCUUUGUUUGGUAAUGUAAUUCGUGAGCUCGGCAGAAGCUGUCAGCAAAUGGUUCCACAGCUUGGCUUCGGAGGGCCCAGAUAUAAACAUUGAGCCUAACGAUGGCGUUAGGAGUCAAUUGAUGAAAGUAGAUACCAAACCUCCUUAGUAUCUCCGCAACAAUAUCGUGGAGAGGGAAUCUAAGCCCGGCUUUUAAAAAACUCUUGAAAAUAACAAUCUCAUCCUUCCUUGGCUUCGGGGUGGUUUCUUCUUCCCCGAAGCGGAGUAGCUUCUUCUGGUCCUCAUUGAAAUAACCUGCUUUCACCAUCUUCGAAAGGUCAGCUUUUGAAACAGUUGAUUUCCCAAAAUCCAGGUGACUGGGCUUGCUGGGCGUAGCAAGGUGAUAGUCAUCUUCGGAGUCAGUCCCUUCAAUGUUUUCUUUUCCUUCGGCAGUUGUUGGGCCUGCUUCAGCAGCAGGCAUUUCUUCUGUAGUCAGUAGACCGGAACGCUGCAUUGCUUCGGAGAUGGGCACAGUGUCUGAACCUUCGGCUUCGUCUCCCUCACGUACAACUUUGGCAGUAGAUCGUAUUCUCGCCAUUUGAUUCUAAGUUUGGGAAGUCAAAAACUUUUUCCUUUUUUCUUUUCUCCGAAGCUCUUCUUUCUGACGAAGCGGACGUUGAGAAGCACCUUCGUUCGAUUCUGAGACUUAAGCUUCGGCUAUGGUGAAAAAUUUUGGCAGCGAAACAGUGCAAAUAGCAAUGAAUGCUGUGGUAACUUCACACCCACCUGUUUGUUUAUAUAGUGCUGCAGGUAGGAAGGCGAAGCGGUGGAACUGUUACACCAGGCGCGCAGUAACUCAUACCCGCUGUGCAGUGGACCGCAAAGACCAAACAGUAACUCUACAAAGUGGGCUUGGCACGCGCUCGGAAGUCGGAUCGUUUCUCCGCAACGAGCUCAGGGAAGGUGUUUUUUGGACCUUCGGCUUCCCGAAGCUGAAGAGGUUUUUUUUCACGGGCCAAGCUCGUUACGAAGAACGAUCUAGCACCGCGAAAGGGGCUACUGUUGGGGUCGUGCUUCGGUAUGCCGAAGGUCUCACACGAAGAAGCAGCUUCGGCCAAAGUCGUUUCUAAGAGAUGGCCGAAGGUCCCUUUUCAUGGAGCUUCGGCGUUUUAAACCGACAUAGAGGCAGAAUGACCUUUUUAUACAUGUAUGUCCGAGUCAAUGUUGUAAACUUCCGCAAGGGGCAUAAUUGUAAUUUGUCACAGGCUGCGACCUGUGUCUAUAAAUAGAUGAACAGUACCUCUGUACUGUUCACGCGAACUUGCUUUUGGCCUUCGCAUCACAUUCGUACUUUUUGCCUUCCGCAAGACCGAAGGUACAUUUGUACUUCAAAGUCAUUUAUAUUCAUUAAUACAAGUAGAGAUAAUUCUAUGAUAAUAUUUACAUGUUUAUUUCAUGAUUUAUGUGAAUGCUUUAUUCUUCGUUGUUGUGCUUACGAAGGUAUGUUCUUUGUAACCUUCGUCCGAGAUGCUAUAUAUCCCGAAGGGAUAUAUCGUUAUGAAGGACGAAGGACCUUAAUACUUAACAUUUUCCGUGUUGCCUUGUUCUUAAUUCGAAGCAUUUGAGAACAAGUCCCCAACAGUCACACCCAUUGGGGUCAACUUCAACGCGUACACCACCAUUGGGAUCAACCUCAGGAAGAACCUCUACUGGUACUUCUUCACAAACAGGAACAGAAGGGCUAGCAUCCCGGUCCAAGCAUGAUAGUCGCUGGAGCCGCCUCUUCUUCUUAUUCUUCUCCUCAACAGGCGCAGUCGGACGGCUAACCUAGCGAGAACGUUUUGGGCGAGUACCCUCAGGCUUUCGGGUGUCCACUAUUUUGUUAACCUCUUGUCCAACUGUAACAGCCAUCGGUUCAGCAGGGGCCGAGUUAAAAGAUUCUCCAGCCAACAUAUUGAGUACAACAUCUAUUUCUGCAUCAUCUGGACUUGCCGACAUCUCAAAGUGAACUUGCCUCUCAUCAUUGGGAAGAUCACAAAGAGGAGCAACCAGAGCCUCAAUGUCUACAGGAGAGGGUCGCACUCUAAGACCCAGACCACUAUCACUGGCAGGAGGGUUGGACACGAAAUUGAAAAAUGACCUAGGAGGUGGCAGAUUCCAAGUAGAAUAAGCAACAGGAGCACCAACAUUUGAUACCUUGCCCCUCAGGAUCAUGUCUAGUCGGCUCACUAGAUCCUCAGAAGGAAUUUUCCUGUCGAUAACCCGAGUUGAAUCAGUAAUACCACUGUACAAGUAAGCUGGAUACGCCCUAUCUUUCAAAGGCUGAAUAUUCUUGAAAACGAAGUCAGCAACUACAGCUUCGGCAGUCAGACCUCUUUCCUUCAGCAGACAGAUCUCAGCAAGCAGAACCCUAGCUUCCGUCACCUCCAACAUGAAUUACAGGCUCUGGUGUUCUUCAAAUUGUCGACACAUUUGUCUGUAAUUAAAAAUUCUAAAUUAACUUUUUAGAAAUAAUUUGUGUGACAUUGGUAAUGUUUUCCAUACGGAUUUUGCAUAUUAUAGUGAUGUUUGUCGUUCCGUAUCAAUGUUUCAUACAAAUGUUUUACUUCCGUCGCAACGCACGGGAACAUACCUAUAAUAUAUAUUGUUAUCGUGUUAUUAUACGGUUCCGUUGCAACGCACGGGCACUCACCUAGAUAUGGGACGAUAUGCAAUGAUGUAUAGAUGUGACUGCUUGGGAAAAUCUAUUGAAAAUUCUUGAACAUCCCCCCAAUGGGUGUAACCGAGGGACGACUUGGUACACCGAGCAUUUAGCAUACCAUCCUUGAGUAGUAACUUGAUGUGACCGUGGGGCGUAAUCAUAUCGUCCAAGCAGUUGACCUUAGUCCAAAUGGCGUAACAACUGAGUGGUGCUUGAUGACGUCGGCGUUUUAGAGGUAACGGCCGAGUUACGCUUGGCCCCGUCAGAGUUUUAGAGAUAACUGAGAGAACCUAGAGGGGGGUGAAUAGGUGAUCCUGUAAAACUUGAAACUUAAUGCCACAAAAACUUGAUUAGGAGUUAGCACAAUAAAGUCAAGUGGCUAGAGAGGAAUCCUUGCAAGACACGAUAACCACAAGAAGAUCAAUCACAGAUAGACACAAUGGUUUAUCCCGUGGUUCGGCCAAGUUCAACACUUGCCUACUCCACGUUGUGGCAUCCCAACGGACGAGGGUUGCAAUCAAACCCUCUCAAGCGGUCCAAAGACCCACUUGAAUACCACAGUGUUUUGCUUUGUUUACUUUAUCCUGCUCGCGAGGAAUCUCCACAACUUGGAGCCUCUCGCCCUUACACUUUGAUGUUCACAAAGAAGCACGGAGAAGGGAGGGAUGAGCAACGCACACAAGACACAAAAUCAGAGCGACAAUACGCACACAAGUCACAACACGAGCUCACAACACAACCCAAAGAGUUCUCUACUCAAAUGGAGCUCUAGUUGUUAUCACAAAGAAUCGAAUGCGCGGAAUUGAAGUCUUGGUGCUUAGGAAUGCUUAGAGAAUGCUUGGUGUACUCCUCCAUGCGCCUAGGGGUCCCUUUUAUAGCCCCAAGGCAGCUAGAAGCCGUUGAGAGCAUUCCAGGAAGGCAAUUCUUGCCUUCUGUCGCCUGGCGCACCGGACAGUCCGGUGCACCACCGGAUACUGUCCGGUGCGGAUUUCUUUCCUUCUUUGGCGAAGCCGACCGUUGGCGGUUCAGAGCCGUUGGUGCACCGGACACUGUCCGGUGCACACCGGACAGUCCGGUGCCCACUUCUGACCGUUGGCUCUGCCACGCGUCGCGCGUGGAUUACGCGGCCGACCGUUGGCCCGGCCAACUGUUGGCUCAUCGGACAGUCCGGUGCACACUGAACAGUCCGGUGAAUUAUAGUCGUACGCCGCCGUUGAAGUCCCGAGAGCAGCCAGUUCGCAGAUGCCAGCCUGGCGCACCGGACACUAUCCGGUGCACCACCGGACAGUCCAGUGUACCCAGACUGAGCAGACUUUUGGCUGCUUCGAGCCAAGCUUUUCCAAUUGAAUUUUCUCUGAUUCUUGCACUUAGACAAACAUGUUAGUACACAAAAAACAAUGUACUAAGUCUAGAAUCAUACCUUCAUAUUGAUUUGCACCUUAUCCACAAUUUGGCAUAGUUUAUCACUUAAGCACUUGUGUUGGACACUCAAUCACCAAAAUACUUAGAAAUGGCCCAAGGGCAUAUUUCCCUUUCAAUCUCCCCCUUUUUGAUGAUUUAUGCCAACACAACAAAAAGCAACUAAAAGAAGUGCAACAUCAAUGCAAAUGAAAACUCAAAUUUGUUUUGAUUCAAAUUUGGCAUAUUUGGAUCAUUCUUUGCCACCACUUGGUUUGUUUUUGCAAAUCAGACUCAAUUUCCUAUCUCUAAUUCAAACACACUUGUUGAGACAUAAAGAGAGUUGUUCCAAUAGAAAUUGAUCACUGAUUCAAGAACUCCCCCUAUUUCCCAUAAUCAACCAUUCUUCCCACAAGAGACCAAAUUUUGACAAAAGAGACAAUAAGAGAGUUUUGUCAAACCAAAAGCUCUAUUCUACUAUUUUCAAAAUUCUCAAGUGGUAGCUGAUCCAUUUAUUUCUUUGGCCCUUAAUUUCUCCCCCUUUGGCAUCAAGCACCAAAACGGGAUCAUUUUUGGCCCUUUAACCCCAUUGCCUCACCAAAAUCUUCAACUAAGAGUAAAAAGGCAAUAAGAGUACAAAGAUGAACUUGGAAUCAGUUACUCUUUCAUCGGAGUGCAGUGGAAGUCUUGCAUGGUCCAAGUCCACCUUUUCCCUUUCAAACCUCCUUUGAGACUAAAUUAAGCAAACUCAAGCACACAGUUAGUCUCAAAGGGUCAAGUUGUAGCACAUCUCCCCCUAAAUAUGUGCAUCACUUGCAAAUGGACUUGUUAGGUCCGGGGAGUGCUUGUACAACUUGAGCACCAUAAAUAAACAACAAAAUGCAUUAAGGAACAUGAUCAAGGCAUAAAACACAUGUAUGCUAUAAAUCAAUCCAGGUUCCGCGAAUCUAAGACAUUUAGCUCACUACGCAGCUUGCAAAAGGUCGACUCAUCUAGAGGCUUGGUAAAGAUAUCGGCUAGCUGGUUCUCGGUGCUAACAUAAAACACUUCGAUAUCUCCCUUUUGCUGGUGGUCUCUCAAAAAGUGAUGUCGGAUGUCAAUGUGCUUUGUGCGGCAGUGUUCAACAGAAUUAUCCGCCAUGCGGAUAACACUCUCAUUAUCACAUAGGAGUGGGACUUUGCUCAGAUUGUAGCCAAAGUCCCUGAGGGUUUGCCUCAUCCAAAGUAGUUGCACGCAACACUGUCCUGCGGCAACGUACUCGGCCUCAGUGGUGGAUAGGGCAACGGAAGUUUGUUUCUUAGAACUCCACGACACCAGGGAUCUUCCUAAGAAUUGGCACGUCCUCGUUGUACUCUUCCUAUCGACCUUACAUCCAGCAUAGUCGGAGUCUGAAUAUCCAAUCAAGUCAAAGGUAGACCCCUUUGGAUACCAGAUCCCGAAGCAAGGCGUAGCGACUAAAUAUCUAAGAAUUCGCUUCACGGCCACUAAGUGACAUUCCCUUGGAUCGGAUUGAAAUCUAGCACACAUGCAUACACUAAGCAUAAUAUCCGGUCUACUAGCACAUAAAUAAAGUAAAGACCCUAUCAUAGACCGGUAUGCCUUUUGAUCAACGGACUUACCUCCUUUGUUGAGGUCGGUGUGUCCGUCGGUUCCCAUUGGGGUCUUUGCGGGCUUGGUGAAAGGGAAUUAGGCUUACACCUAUUUUCCUAAUUGAUUUUGGUGGUUGAAUUGCCCAACACAAAUAAUUGGACUAACUAGUUUGCUCUAGUGUAUAAGUUAUACAGGUGCCAAAGGUUCACACUAAGCCAAUAAAAAGACCAAGAAAUGGGUUCAACAAAGAGAGCAAGGGAUAACCGAAGGCUGCCCUGGUCUGGCGCACCGGACAGUGUCCGGUGUGCCACCGGACAGUGUCCGGUGCACCAGGGGACUCCAAGCCAAACUCUUCACCUUUGGGAAUUCUCAGAGGCGCUUCGCUAUAAUUCACCGGACUGUCCGGUGUACCACCGGACAGUGUCCGGUGCUCCAGGGAAGAGCGACUCUGAACUCGCCAGCUUCGGGAAUCUGCUCCGCUAUAAUUCACCGGACAUGUCCGGUGCACACCGGACUGUCUAGUGAGCCAGCGGAGCAACGGCUACUUCGCGCUAACGAUCGACUGCAGGCGCAUUGAAUGCACGCCAGCGCACGCAGAAGUCAGAGCACGCGCGGGUGGCACACCGGACAACCUACAGGGCUUGUCCGGUGCACCACCGGACAGCCAGGCGGGCCCACAAGUCAGAGCUCCAACGGUCGGAACCCAACGACCUGGUGACGUGGCUGGCGCACCGGACUGUCCGGUGCGCCAUGCGACAGCAACCUCCACCAAACGACUAGUUUGGUGGUUGGGGCUAUAAAUACCCCCAACCACCCCACAUUCAAGAAAUCUAAGUUUUCCCACUUCAACUACUUACAAGAGCUCUAGCAUUCAAUUCUAGACACACCCAAGUGAUCAAAUCCUCUCCCAAUUCCACACAACCUCUAGUGAUUAGUGAGAGAGAUUUGCUUGUGUUCUUUCGAGCUCUUGCGCUUAGAUUGCUUUCUUUCUCAUUCUUUCUUGAGAUCAAACUCACUUGUAAUUGAGGCAAGAGACACCAAUCGUGUGGUGGUCCUUAUGGGAACUUUAUGUUCCAAUUGAUUGAGAAGAAAAGCUCACUCGGUCCGAGGGACCGUUUGAGAGAGGGAAAGGGUUGAAAGAGACCCGGUCUUUGUGACCACCUCAACGGGGAGUAGGUUUGCAAGAACCGAACCUCGGUAAAACAAAUCCGCGUGUCACACUCUUUAUUCGCUUGCCAUUUGUUUUGCACCCUCUCUCGCGGACUCAUUUAUAUAUCUAACGCUAACCCGGCUUGUAGUUGUGAUUAAGUUUGUAAAUUUCAGAUUUGCCCCCCCUCUAGGCGACUUUCAAUUGGUAUCAGAGCCCGGUGCUUCAUUAGAGCCUAACCGCUCGAAGUGAUGUCGGGAGAUCACGCCAAGAAGGAGAUGGAGACCGACGACAAGCCCACUACAAGCCACGGGAAAGCUUCAUCGGAAGAGUCCCGCAACAAGGGGAAGGGGAAGGAGAAGAAACCCUUUUCCCACAAGUCGCAUCGGAGUGGGGACAAGAAAAAGAAGAUGAGGAAGGUGGUCUACUACGAGACCGAUACUUCAUCACCUUCCACCUCCGGCUCCGACGCGUCGUCCAUUACUUCUAAGCGCCAUGAGCGCAAGAAGUUUAGUAAGAUUCCCCUAUGCUAUCCUCGCAUUCCUAAACAUACGCCUUUACUUUCCGUCCCAUUAGGCAAACCACCAACGUUUUAUGGUGAAGAUUAUGCUAGGUGGAGUGAUUUAAUGCGAUUUCAUCUAACCUCACUCCACAAAAGUAUAUGGGAUGUCGUUGAGUUUGGUGUACAGGUACCAUCCGUAGGGGAUGAAGAUUAUGAUGAGGACGAAGUGGCCCAAAUCGAGCACUUCAACUCCCAAGCCACAACUAUACUCCUCGCCUCUCUAAGUAGAGAGGAGUACAACAAGGUGCAAGGAUUAAAGAGCGCCAAGGAAGUUUGGGACGUGCUCAAGACCGCGCACGAGGGAGAUGAGCUAACCAAGAUCACCAAGCGGGAGACGAUCGAGGGGGAGCUCGGUCGCUUCCGUCUUCGCCAAGGGGAGGAGCCACAAGACAUGUACAACCGGCUUAAAACCUUGGUGAAUCAAGUGCGCAACCUCGGGAGAAAAAAUGGGAUGACCACGAAAUGGUUAAGGUUAUUCUAAGAUCACUUAUUUUCCUUAACCCUACUCAAGUUCAAUUAAUUUGUGGCAAUCCUAGAUAUACACUAAUGACUCCCGAGGAAGUAAUCAGGAAUUUUGUGAGCUUUGAGUUCAUGAUCAAGGGCUCAAAGAAGAUCAACGAGCUUGACGGACCCUCCACGUCCGAAGCACAACUGGUCGCAUUCAAAGCGACGGAGGAGAAGGAGGAGGAGUCUACAUCAAGUAGACAACCAAUCGACGCCUCAAAGCUCGACAAUGAGGAAAUGGCGCUCGUCAUCAAGAGCUUCCGCCAAAUCCUCAAGCAAAGGAGGGGGAAAGAUUACAAGCCCCGCUCCAAGAAAGUUUGCUACAAAUGUGGUAAGCCCGGUCACUUUAUAGCAAAAUGUCCUAUUUCUAGUGACAGGGGCGACGACAAGAAGGGAGAAGAAAGGAGAAGAAGAAAUACUACAAUAAGAAGGGUGGCGACGCCCAUGUAUGCCGCGAGUGGGACUCGGACGAGAGCUCCUCCGACUCAUGUACUCCGCCAACAUUGCCAUCAACAAGGGCCUUCUCUUCCCCAACGUCGGCCACAAGUGUCUCAUGGCAAAGGACGGCAAAAAGAAGAAGGUUAAAUCCAAAUCCUCCACUAGAUAUGAGUCCUCUAGCGAUGAUAAUGCUAGUGAUGAGGAAGAUAAUUUGCGUACUCUUUUUGCCAACUUAAACAUGCAACAAAAGGAGAAAUUAAAUGAAUUGAUUAGUGCUAUCCAUGAGAAGGAUGAUCUCUUGGACACCCAAGAGGACUUCCUUAUCAAAGAAAACAAAAAGCAUGUUAAAGUAAAAAAUGCUUACGCUCUAGAAGUAGAGAAAUGUGAAAAACUUUCUAGUGAGGUAAGCACUUGCCACGAGACUAUAGACAACCUUAGAAAUGAAAAUGCUAAUUUGUUAGCUAAGGUUGAUUCAAAUGUUUGUGAUGUUUCAAUUCCAAAUCUUAGAAAUGAUAAUGUUGAUUUGCUUGCUAAGAUUGAAGAAUUGAACAUUUCUCUUGCUAGCCUUAGAAAUGAAAAUGAAAAAUUGCUUGCUAAGCCUAAAGAAUUAGAUGUUUGCAAUGCUUCCAUUUCCGACCUUAGAAGUAAAAAUGAUAUAUUACAUGCUAAGGUUGUAGAAUUAAAAUCUUGCAAACCCUCUACAUCUACCGUUGAACAUACUACUAUUUGCACUAGAUGUAGAGAUGUUAAUAUUGAUGAUAUUCAUGAUCACAUGGCUUUAAUUAAACAACAAAAUGAUCAUAUAGCAAAAUUAGAUGCUAAAAUUGUCGAGCAUGACUUAGAAAACGAAAAAUUUAAAUUUGCUAGAAGCAUGCUCUAUAGAGGGAGACGCCCUGACAUUAAGGAUGGCAUUGGCUUCCAACAGGGAGGCAAUGACAAACUUAAUGCCCCUCCUAAGAAAUUGUCCAACUUUGUUAAGGGCAAGGCUCCCAUGCCUCAGGAUAAUGAGGGUUACAUUUUGUACCCUGCCGGUUAUCCCGAGAGCAAAAUUAGGAGAAUUCACUCUAUGAAGUCUCACUCUGGCCCUAACCAUGCUUUUAUGUAUAAGGGUGAGACAUCUAGUUCUAGGCAACCAACCCGUGCUAAGUUGCCUAAGAAGAAAACUCCUAGUGCAUCAAAUGAUCAUGACAUUUCAUUCAAAACUUUUGAUGCAUCAUAUGUGUUGACUAACAAAUCCGGCAAGGUAGUUGCCAAGUAUGUUGGGGGCAAGCACAAGGGGUCAAAAACUUGUGUUUGGGUACCCAAAGUUCUUGUGUCUAAUGCCAAAGGACCCAAAACCAUUUGGGUACCUAAAGUCAAGAACUAAACUUGUUUUGUAGGUUUAUGCAUCCGGGGGCUCAAGCUGGGUAAUCGACAGCGGGUGCACAAACCACAUGACAGGGGAGAAGAAGAUGUUCUCCUCCUACGAGAAAAACCAAGAUCCCCAACGAGCUAUCACAUUCGGGGAUGGAAAUCAAGGUUUGGUCAAAGGAUUGGGUAAAAUUGCUAUAUCUCCCGACCAUUCUAUUUCCAAUGUUUUUCUUGUAGAUUCUUUAGAUUACAAUUUGCUUUCUGUAUCUCAAUUAUGCAAAAUGGGCUACAACUGUCUAUUUACUGAUGUAGGUGUCACUGUCUUUAGAAGAAGUGAUGAUUCAAUAGCAUUUAAGGGAGUGUUAGAGGGUCAGCUAUACUUAGUAAAUUUUGAUAGAGCUGAACUCGACAUUUGCUUAAUUGCUAAGUCUAACAUGGGCUAGCUCUGGCAUCGCCGACUAGCACAUGUUGGGAUGAAGAAUCUUCAUAAGCUUCUAAAGGGAGAGCACAUUUUAGGAUUAACAAAUGUUCAUUUUGAGAAAGACAUGAUUUGUAGCGCAUGCCAAGCAGGGAAGCAAGUUGGUGCUCAUCAUCCACAUAAGAACAUCAUGACGACUGACAAGCCACUGGAGCUCCUACACAUGGAUCUAUUCGGCCCGAUUGCUUACAUAAGCAUCGGCGGGAGUAAGUACUGUCUAGUUAUUGUGGAUGAUUAUUCUCGCUUCACUUGGGAGUUCUUUUUGCAGGAAAAAUCUCAUACCCAAGAUACUUUAAAGGGAUUCUUGAGACGGGCUCAAAACGAGUUCGGCUUAAGGAUCAAGAAAAUAAGAAGCGACAACGGGACGGAGUUCAAGAACUCUCAAAUUGAAGGCUUCCUUGAGGAGGAGGGCAUCAAGCAUGAGUUCUCUUCUCCCUACACGCCACAACAAAAUGGUGUAGUGGAGAGGAAAAAUCAAACUCUAUUGGACAUGGCAAGAACCAUGCUUGAUGAGUACAAGGCUUCGGAUCGGUUUUGGGCCGAGGCGGUCAACACCGCUUGCUAUGCCAUCAACCAGUUAUAUCUACACCGAAUCUUCAAGAAGACAUCAUAUGAACUCCUAACCGAUAAAAAGCCCAAUAUUUCAUAUUUUAGAGUCUUUGGUAGCAAAUGCUUUAUACUUGUUAAAAGAGGAAGAAAAUCUAAAUUUGCUCCUAAGACUGUAGAAGGCUUUUUACUAGGAUAUGAUUCAAACACAAGGGCAUAUAGAGUCUUUAACAAGUCCUUCGGACAAGUUGAAGUUUCUUGUGACGUUGUGUUUGAUGAAACUAACAGCUCUCAAGUAGAGCGAGUUGAUCUUGAUGAGAUAGGUGAUGAAGAGGCUCCGUGCAUCGCGCUAAGGAACAUGUCCAUUGGGGAUGUGUGUCCUAAGGAAUCCGAAGAGCCUCCAAAUGCAAAAGGUCAACCAUCCUCCUCCACGCAAGCAUCUCCACCAACUCAAAAUGAGGAUGAGGCUCAAGUUGAUGAAGAAGAAGAUCAAAGAGAUGAGCCACCUCAAGAUAACGACAAUGAUCAAGGGGGAGAUACAAAUGCUCAAGACAAAGAGGAUGAAGAACCAAGGCCGCCACACCCAAGAGUCCACCAAGCAAUCCAACGAGAUCACCCCGUCGACACCAUCCUCGGCGACAUUCAUAAGGGGGUAACCACUAGAUCUCGUGUUGCACAUUUUUGUGAGCAUUACUCUUUUGUUUCCUCUAUUGAGCCACACAGGGUAGAGGAAGCACUUCAAGAUUCGGAUUGGGUGGUGGCGAUGCAAGAGGAGCUCAACAACUUCACUAGGAAUGAGGUAUGACAUUUGGUUCCACAUCCUAACCAAAAUGUUGUAGGAACCAAAUGGGUGUUCCGCAACAAGCAAGACGAGCAUGUUGUGGUGACAAGGAACAAAGCUCGACUUGUGGCCAAGGGAUACUCCCAAGUCGAAGGUUUGGAUUUCGGUGAAACCUAUGCACCCGUAGCUAGGCUUGAGUCAAUUCGUAUAUUGUUAGCCUAUGCUACUUACCAUGGCUUCAAGCUUUACCAAAUGGACGUGAAGAGUGCCUUCCUCAAUGGAUCGAUCAAGGAAGAGGUCUAUGUUGAGCAACCUCCCGGCUUUGAAGAUAGUGAGUACCCUAACCAUGUUUAUAAACUCUCUAAGGCGCGUUAUGGGCUCAAGCAAGCCCCAAGAGCAUGGUAUGAAUGCCUUAGAGAUUUCCUUAUCACUAAUGGAUUCAAAGUCGGAAAGGCCGGUCCUACACUCUUUACCAAAACACUUGAAAAUGAUUUGUUUGUAUGCCAAAUUUAUGUUGAUGAUAUUAUAUUUGGGUCUACUAACGAAUCUACAUGUGAAGAGUUUAGUAGGAUCAUGACACAAAAAUUCGAGAUGUCGAUGAUGGGGGAGUUGAAAUACUUCUUAGGAUUUCAAGUGAAGCAACUCCAAGAAGGCACCUUCCUAAGCCAAACGAAGUAUACUCAAGAUAUUCUAAGCAAGUUUGGGAUGAAGGAUGCCAAACCCAUCAAGACACCCAUGGGAACAAAUGGGCAUCUCGACCUCGACACGGAAGGUAAAUCCGUAGAUCAAAAGGUAUAUCGGUCGAUGAUAGGCUCUUUACUCUAUUUAUGUGCAUCUCGACCGGAUAUUAUGCUUUCUGUAUGCAUGUGUGCAAGAUUCCAAGCCGACCCUAAGGAAGCUCACCUUACGGCUGUAAAACGAAUCUUGAGAUAUUUAGUUUAUACUCCUAAGUUUGGGCUUUGGUAUCCUAGGGGAUCCACAUUCGAUUUGAUUGGUUAUUCGGAUGCCGAUUGAGCAGGGUGUAAAAUCAAUAGAAAGAGCACAUCGGGGACUUGCCAGUUCUUGGGAAGAUCCUUGGUGUCUUGGGCUUCAAAGAAGAAAAAUUCUGUAGCUCUUUCUACCGCCGAAGCGGAGUACAUUGUCGCAGGCCAUUGUUGCGCGCAACUACUUUGGAUGAGGCAAACCCUUAGGGACUACGGUUACAAAUUAACCAAAGUUCCUCUUCUAUGUGAUAAUGAGAGUGCAAUCCGCAUGGCGGAUAAUCUCGUUGAGCAUAGCCGCACUAAACACAUAGCCAUUCGGUAUCAUUUCUUAAGGGAUCACCAACAAAAGGGAGAUAUCGAGAUUGCAUACAUUAACACUAAAGAUCAAUUAGCCGAUAUCUUUACCAAGCCACUAGAUGAACAAACUUUUAACAAACUUAGGCAUGAGCUAAAUAUUCUUGAUUCUAGGAAUUUCUUUUGAUGUCUUGCACAUAUAGCUCAUAAGUAUACCUUUGAUCAUGUCUCUUUUAUAUAUGCCAUGACUAAUGUAUUUUCAAGUGAAUUUCAAACCAAGUCAUAGGUAUAUUGAAAGGGAAUUGGAGUCUUCGGCGAAGACAAAGGCUUCCACUCCGUAACUCAUCCUUCGUCGUCGCUCCGAGCAACUCUCCAACUUUGGUAUAAUCUUCACUCUUAUGUCUUUUACCAAAGGGGGAGAAAGUAAUAAAAAGGGCUCUAAUAAUUCUGUUUUUGGCGAUUUAUGCCAAAGGGGGAGAGAGCAUGAGCCCAAAGCAAAAGGACCGCACCACCACCUAAUUUUAAAAACUCAUGAUUUUCAAUUGGUAAAUUUCAAAUUGGUAUCUUAUUGUGUUCAAAAGGGGGAGAAAGUAGUAUUCUCAAAAUCGAUAUCUUAAAACCCUCUUGAACACUAAGAGGAGAUUUCGUUGAGGGGGAAUUUUGUUUAGUCAAAGGAAAAGCAUUUGAAACAGGGAGAGAAAAUUUCAAAUCUUGAAAACGCUUCGCAAAAUCUUAUUCAUUUACCUUUGACUAUUUGCAAAAGAACUUUGAAAAGGAUUUACAAAAGAAUGUGCAAAAACAAAACAUGUGGUGCAAGCGUGGUCCAAAAUGUCAAAAAUUAAAGAAACAAUCCAUGCAUAUCUUAUAAGUAUUUACAUUGGCUCAAUUCCAAGUAACCUUUGCACUUACAUUAUGCAAACUAGUUCAAUUAUGCACUUCUAUACUUGCUUUGGUUUGUUUUGGCAUCAAUCACCAAAAAGGGGGAGAUUGAAAGGGAAUUAGGCUUACACCUAUUUUCCUAAUUGAUUUUGGUGGUUGAAUUGCCCAACACAAAUAAUUGGACUAACUAGUUUGCUCUAGUAUAUAAGUUAUACAGGUGCCAAAGGUUCACACUAAGCCAAUAAAAAGACCAAGAAAUGGGUUCAACAAAGAGAGCAAGGGAUAACCGAAGGCUGCCCUGGUCUGGCGCACCGGACUGUCCGGUGCACCAGGGGACUCCAAGCCAAACUCUUCACCUUCGGGAAUUCUCAGAGGCGCUUCGCUAUAAUUCACCGGACAGUGUCCGGUGCUCCAGGGAAGAGCGACUCUGAACUCGCCAGCUUCGGGAAUCCACUCCGCUAUAAUUCACCGGACAUGUCUGGUGCACACCGGACUGUCCGGUGAGCCAGCGGAGCAACGGCUACUUCGCGCCAACGGUCGACUGCAGGCGCAUUGAAUGCGCGCCAGCGCGCGCAGAAGUUAGAGCACGCGCGGGUGGCACACCGGACAGCCUACAGGGCUUGUCCGGUGCACCACCGGAUAGCCAGGCGGGCCCACAAGUCAGAGCUCCAACGGUCGGAACCCAACGGCCUGGUGACGUGGCUGGCGCACCGGACAAUGUCCGGUGGCGCACCGGACUGUCCGGUGCGCCAUGCGACAGCAGCCUCCACCAAACGACUAGUUUGGUGGUUGGGGCUAUAAAUACCCCCAACCACCCCACAUUCAAGAAAUCCAAGUUUUCCCACUUUAACUACUUACAAGAGCUCUAGCAUUUAAUUCUAGACACAUCCAAGUGAUCAAAUCCUCUCCCAAUUCCACACAACCUCUAGUGAUUAGUGAGAGAGAUUUGCUUGUGUUCUUUCGAGCUCUUACGCUUGGAUUCCUUUCUUUCUCAUUCUUUCUUAAGAUCAAACUCACUUGUAAUUGAGGCAAGAGACACGAAUCGUGUGGUGGUCCUUGUGGGAACUUUGUGUUCCAAUUGAUUGAGAAGAAAAGCUCACUCGGUCCGAGGGACCGUUUGAGAGAGGGAAAGGGUUGAAAGAGACCCGGUCUUUGUGACCACCUCAACGGGGAGUAGGUUUCCAAGAACCGAACCUCGGUAAAACAAAUCUGCGUGCCACACUCUUUAUUCGCUUGCCAUUUGUUUUGCACCCUCUCUCGCGGACUCAUUUAUAUAUCUAACGCUAACCCGGCUUGUAGUUGUGAUUAAGUUUGUAAAUUUCAGAUUCGCCCUAUUCACCCCCCCUCUAGGCGACUUUCACUUGGCAUCCUUCAUCCCAAACCGCUUGAUCAAGUCUUGCGUGUACUUCGUUUGGGAGAUGAAGGUCCCAUCCUUGAGUUGCUUCACUUGGAACCCAAGGAAAUAGCUUAACUCGCCCAUCAUCGACAUCUCAAACUUUUGAGUCAUCACCCUGCUAAACUCUUCACAAGACUUUUGGUUAGUAGAACCAAAUAUUAUGUCAUCGACAUAAAUUUGGCACACAAAAAGAUCACCAUCACAAGUCUUAGUAAAAAGAGUUGGAUCGGCUUUCCCAACCUUGAAAGCAUUAGCAAUUAAAAAGUCUCUAAGGCAUUCAUACCAUGCUCUUGGGGCUUGCUUAAGUCCAUAGAGCGCCUUAGAGAACUUACACAUGUGGUCGGGGUACCGUUCAUCCUCGAAGCCAGGGGGUUGCUCCACGUACACCUCCUCCUUGAUUGGUCCGUUGAGGAAAGCGCUCUUCACAUCCAUUUGGAACAACCUGAAAGAAUGGUGAGUAGCAUAGGCUAACAAUAUGCGAAUUGACUCUAGCCUAGCCACAGGAGCAAAAGUCUCCUCAAAGUCCAAACCUGCGACUUGGGCAUAACCUUUUGCCACAAGUCGUGCCUUGUUCCUUGUCACCACCCCGUGCUCGUCUUGUUUGUUGCAGAACACCCACUUGGUUCCCACAAUGUUUUGCUUGGGACGAGGCACCAGUGUCCAAACUUCAUUUCUCUUGAAGUUGUUGAGCUCUUCCUGCAUGGCCAACACCCAGUCCGGAUCUAGCAAGGCCUCUUCUACCCUGAAAGGCUCAAUAGAAGAGACAAAAGAGUAAUGCUCACAAAAAUUAACUAAUCUUGAACGAGUAGUUACUCCCUUGCUUAUGUCACCCGAUAUUUGGUCGACGGGAUGAUUCCUUUGAAUCGUCGCUCGAACUUGGGUUGGAGGUGCCGGUUGCACUUCUUCCUCUAUCACAUGAACAUCUUGUGUUCUCCCUUGAUCACACGCCUCUUCUUGAUGAACCUGUUCAUCGUCUUGAGUUAAGGGAUGCACCAUUGUUGAGGAAGAAGGUUGAUCUUGCUCCUUUUGUUCCUGUGGUUGUACAUCACCAAUCGCCAUGGUACGUAUUGCGGCCGUCAGAACAUCUUCAUCUACAUCAUCAAGAUCAACAACUUGCUCUCUUGGAGAGCCAUUAGUCUCAUCAAAUACAACGUCGCUAGAGACUUCAACCAAACCCGAUGAUUUGUUGAAGACCCUAUACGCCUUUGUAUUUGAGUCAUAACCUAACAAAAACCCCUCUACAACUUUGGGAGCAAACUUAGAAUUCCUACCUUUCUUCACUAGAAUGUAACAUUUGCUCCCAAAUACACGAAAGUAAGACACAUUGGGUUUGUUACCGGUUAGAAGCUCAUAUGAAGUCUUCUUGAGGAGGCGAUGAAGGUAGACCCGGUUUAUGGCGUGGCAAGCCGUGCUCACGGCUUCCGUCCAAAACCGUUCGGACGUCUUGAAUUCACCAAGCAUCGUCCUCGCCAUGUCUAGUAGUGUCCUGUUCUUCCUCUCUACCACACCAUUUUGUUGUGGUGUGUAGGGAGCGGAGAACUCGUGCUUGAUUCCUUCCUCCUCAAGAUACUCCUCCACUUGAAGGUACUUGAACUCGGACCCAUUGUCGCUUCUUAUCUUCUUCACCUUGAGCUCAAACUCAUUUUGAGCUCUCCUUAGGAAGCGUUUGAGGGUCCCUUGGGUUUCAGAUUUAUCCUGCAAAAAGAAUACCCAAGUGAAGCGGGAAAAAUCAUCAACUAUAACAAGACCAUACUUACUUCCUCCUAUACUUAGAUAGGCGACGGGUCCGAAGAGGUCCAUAUGAAGUAACUCCAGGGGUCUUGAUGUUGUCAUCACAUUUUUGGCAUGAUGAGAGCUCCCCACCUGUUUACCUGCUUGACAAGCUGCACAAGGUCUAUCUUUUUCGAAAGUUACAUUAGUUAGACCUAUCAUGUGUUCUCCCUUUAGAAGCUUGUGAAGGUUCUUCAUCCCCACAUGUGCUAAACGGCGAUGCCACAGCCAGCCCAUGCUAGUCUUAGCAAUUAAGCAUGCAUCUAGACCGGCCUCCUCUUUUGCAAAAUCAACUAAAUAAAGUUUGUCGUCUAGUGCACCCUUAAAGGCUAAUGAACCAUCACUUCUUCUAAAGACAGACACAUCUACAUUUGUGAAUAAACAGUUAUAUCCCAUAUUACAAAGUUGACUUACAGACAACAAGUUAUAUCCAAGCGACUCAACUAAGAACACAUUAGAAAUAGAGUGCUCGGAUGAAAUAGCAAUUUUUCCUAACCCUUUCACCUUGCCUUGGUUCCCAUCACCGAAUAUGAUUGAAUCUUGGGGAUCCUUGUUCUUGACGUAGGAAGAGAACAUCCUCUUUUCCCCCGUCAUGUGGUUUGUGCAUCCGCUGUCGAUAAUCCAGCUUGAGCCCCCGGAUGCAUAAAUCUGCAAGGCAAAUUUAGGCUUGGGUCUUAGGUACCCAACUCAUGUUGGGUCCUACAAGGUUAGUUACAAUAGUCUUAGGGACCCAAAUGCAAGUCUUGUCUCCCUUACAUUUGGCCCCUAAUUUCCUAGCAAUUACCUUCUUAUCCUUUCUACAAAUAGCAAAGGAAGCAUUGCAAGCAUAAAAAAUUGUAGAAUGUUCAUUCAUUACUUUCCUAGGAACAUGAACACUAUUUCUUCUAGGCAUAUGAUGAACGGCAUUUUUCCUAGCCAAACUUCUACCAUACAUCAUAGAAGAACUAGAAGCAAUCAUGGCAUGAGAAUCAAAAGCAUCAUAACUUCUAUAAACAUUCCUAGAAUGUCUCCUAUCAUGAUACAUGAAAGCAUGGUUCUUUUGAGCACUACUAGCCAUAGGGGCCUUCCCUUUCUCCUUAGCGGAGAUGGAAGCCUUAUGACUUGUUAAGUUCUUGACUUCCCUCUUGAAGCCAAGACCAUCCUUAAUUGAGGGGUGUCUACCAGUCAUGUAGGCAUCCCUUGCAAAUUUUAGUUUCUCAAAUUCACUCUUGCUAGUCUUAAGUUGGGCAUUAAGACUAGCCACUUCAUCAUUCAAAUUAGAAAUUGAAACUAGAUGUUCACUAGAAGCAUCAACAUUAAAAUCUUUGCACCUAUUGCAAAUUGCAACAUGUUCUACACAAGAUGUUGAUUUAUUAGCUAUUUCUAUCUUAGCAUUCAAAUCAUCAUUUAUGCUCUUUAAGCUAGAAAUAGAGUCAUGACAUGUAGACAAUUCACAAGAAAGCAUUUCAUUCCUUUUAAUUUCUAAAGCAAGGGAUUUUUGUGCCUCUACAAACUUAUCAUGUUCUUCAUACAAAAGAUCCUCUUGUUUUUUAAUAACCUAUUUUUAUCAUUCAAGGCAUCAAUUAAUUCAUUAAUCUUAUCAACCUUAGUUCUAUCUAGGCCCUUGAAUAAACAUGAAUAGUCUAUUUCAUCAUCACUAGAUUCUUCAUCACUUGAGGAAGCGUAAGUACUAGUAUUAUGAGUGCUUACCUUCUUUUCCCUUGCCAUGAGGCAGGUGUGAUGCUCGUUGGGGAAGAGGGCCGACUUGUUGAAGGCGAUGGCGGCGAGUCCUUCAUUGUCGGAGUCGGACGACGAACAAUCCGAGUCCCACUCCUUUCCAAGGUGUGCCUCGCCCUUAGCCUUCUUGUAAGCCUUCUUCUUUUCCCUCUUGUUCCCUUGUUCCUGGUCACUAUCAUUAUCGGGACAAUUAGCGAUAAAAUGACCAAUCUUACCACAUUUGAAGCAUGAGCGCUUCCCCUUCGUCUUGGUCUUGUUGGGAUGCUCCUUGCGACCCCUUAGCGCUGUCUUGAAACGCUUGAUGAUGAGGGCCAUUUCUUCAUUAUUAAGCCCGGCCGCCUCAACUUGUGCCACCUUGCUAGGUAGCGCCUCCUUGUUCCUCGUUGCUUUGAGAGCAAUGGUUUGAGGCUCUUGGAUUGGGCCAUUCAACGCAUCAUCAACGUAUCUAGCCUCCUUGAUCAUCAUCCGCCCGCUUACGAACUUUCCAAGUAUCUCCUCGGGCGUCAUCUUGGUGUACCUAGGAUUCUCACAAAUGUUGUUCACAAGAUGUGGAUCAAGGACCGUAAAAGACCUUAGCAUUAGGCGGACGACGUCGUGGUCCGUCCAUCGCGUGCUUCCAUAGCUCCUUAUUUUGUUGACGAGGGUCUUGAGCCGGUUGUACGUUUGGGUUGGCUCCUCGCCCCUGAUCAUUGCGAAUCUCCCAAGUUCGCCCUCCACCAACUCCAUCUUGGUGAGCAUGGUGACGUUGUUCCCCUCAUGUGAGAUUUUGAGGGUGUCCCAAAUCUGCUUGGCGUUAUCCAAGCCGCUCACUUUAUGGUAUUCAUCCCUGCACAAUGAAGCUAGAAGAACAGUAGUAGCUUGUGCAUUUUUGUGAAUUUGCUUAUUAAUGAACAUGGGACUAUCCGUACUAUCAAAGUGCAUUCCAUUUUCUACUAUCUCCCAUAUACUUGGAUGGAGAGAGAACAAGUGGCUACGCAUUUUGUGACUCCAAAAUCUGUAGUCCUCUCCAUCAAAGUGGGGAGGUUUACCGAGGGGAAUGGAAAGCAAAUGAGCAUUGGAACUUUGCGGAAUACGAGAAUAAUCAAAGGAAAAGUUUGAAUUAACUGUCUUCUUUUUCUCGUAGUCGUUGUCGUCGUCCUUUUGGGAAGCGGAAGAUUCGUCGCUGUCGUAGUAGACUAUCUCCUUGAUGCGCCUUGUUUUCUUCUUCCUCCCGUCUUUUCUUUUGUGGCCCGAGCCUGAGUAAGUAGGCUUGUCAUCCUUUGGAUCAUUUACGAAGGACUCCUUCUCCUUAUCAUUGACAACCAUCCCCUUGCCCUUAGGAUCCAUCUCUUCGGGCGAUUAGUCCCUUUCUUGAAGAGAACGGCUCCGAUACCAAUUGAGAGCACCUAGAGGGGGGUGAAUAGGUGAUCCUGUAAAACUUGAAACUUAAUGCCACAAAAACUUGAUUAGGAGUUAGCACAAUAAAGCCAAGUGGCUAGAGAGGAAUCCUUGCAAGACACGAUAAGCACAAGAAGAUCAAUCACAGAUAGACACAGUGGUUUAUCCCGUGGUUCGGCCAAGUUCAACACUUGCCUACUCCACGUUGUGGCGUCCCAACAGACGAGGGUUGCAAUCAACCCCUCUCAAGCGGUCCAAAGACCCACUUGAAUAUCAUGGUGUUUUGCUUUGUUUACUUUAUCCCGCUCGCGAGGAAUCUCCACAACUUGGAGCCUCUCGCCCUUACACUUUGAUGUUCACAAAGAAGCACGGAGUAAGGGAGGGAUGAGCAACGCACACAAGACACAAAAUCAGAGCGACAAUACGAACACAAGUCACAACACGAGCUCACAACACAACCCAAAGAGUUCUCUACUCAAAUGGAGCUCUAGUUGCUAUCACAAAGAAUCGAAUGCGCGGAAUUAAAGUAUUGGUGCUUAGGAAUGCUUAGAGAAUGCUUGGUGUACUCCUCCAUGCGCCUAGGGGUCCCUUUUAUAACCCCAAGGCAGCUAGGAGCCGUUGAGAGCAUUCCAGGAAGGCAAUUCUUGCCUUCUGUCGCCUGGCGCACCGGACAGUCCGGUGCACCAACGGACACUGUCCGGUGCGGAUUUCUUUCCUUCUUUGGCGAAGCCGACCGUUGGCGCACCGGACACUGUCCGGUGCACAUCGGACAGUCCGGUGCCCACUUCUGACUGUUGGCUCUGCCACGCGUCGCGCGUGGAUUACGCGGCCGAUCGUUGGCCCGGCCAACUGUUGGCUCACUGGACAGUCCGGUGCACACCGGACAGUCCGGUGAAUUAUAGUCGUACGCCGCCGUUGAAGUCCCGAGAGCAGCCAGUUCGCAGAUGCCAGCCUGGCGCACCGGACACUGUCCGGUGCACCACCAGACAGUCCGAUGUACCCAGACUGAGCAGACUUUUGGCUGCUUCGAGCCAAGCUUUUCCAAUUGAAUUUUCUCUGAUUCUAGCACUUAGACAAACAUGUUAGUACACAAAAACCAACGUACUAAGUCUAGAAUCAUACCUUCAUAUUGAUUUGCACCUUAUCCACUAUUUGGCAUAGUUUAUCACUUAAGCACUUGUGUUGGACACUCAUCACAAAAAUACUUAGAAAUGGCCCAAGGGCAUAUUUCCCUUUCAAUAACAACCGAGUUAUGGCAAACACUGUCGGUGUUUUAGAGGUAACUAUCGAGUUAGGACAGACACUGUCGGCGUUUUAGAGGCAACAACUGAGUGGUGCUUGAUGACGUCGGCGUUUUAGAGGUAACGACCGAGUUAUGUCGGAAAUCUCUUUUUCCCGAGUGAUGACUUGGCAUUUUUUUAGAAAUGGUGCCCAACCCGGGAAAAUCCCAUUUAUAUCACAUCGCUGCACGCUUCUGAGUUCUGAGCCCUAACUUCACAUUUUUGCCUCAAACCACUUAUUUGUUUCCCUCUGAUUUCGCCCUUGUUCAACCCGCCGGUGAGAUUCCGAUGGCGCCCAAGCGGAAGAACCAGAAUUCUGCUAUGGUGGUCAUUCCUCCUCUCGAUCCCAACAGUCAGUUGUCGUUUGCAGGUAACCACAUGCCUGUUGUGUCGAAAUCGGACCUCCUCCACCUUGUUGAUGUUGGAGUUCUUCCUCCAAAAGAGCUCUGCUCUUAGCGGAUUUGCCGUGGGGUCAUUGUUCUGACAGAAGAUACCCACGAAUCUGUUGUCUACGUUCCUUUUCUCAUCUGCGGUCUUGCUCUUCCCAUCUCUCCCUUCUUCUGUGGCAUCAUCGAUUUUUACAAUCUAAACCUGACUCACCUGAAUCCCAAUUCCAUCUUGCAAAUUUCUAUCUUUGUACAUUUGUGUGAGGCCUACCUCGGAAUUCUCCUCAUUUCGGAUUAUGAAAGUAUUUGUAUCACUAUCGGCCUGGGAUGGCUGGGGGCAGCACCAGCUCGUUGGUGGUGCAAGUCUGGAGAUGCGCCGUGGGAGGAAGACAGAAUACCUUGACAUUCCUUUCAAGGACAACAUUAAAGGAUGGCGCCUUGAAUGGUUUAUUGUGGAAAACCACGGCAAGUCCCUCCCCCCUUGGUCGGGGAGACAGCCAGAUGUACGCACUCUAAGUUGGGUUGAGUCUCCUACUGCCUUGGAGGUGACGGGAGCUAGGGUUCUGCUUGCUGAGAUCUGUCUGCUGAAGGAAAGAUGUCUGACUGCCAAAGCUGUAGUUGCUGACUUCGUUUUCAAGAAUAUUCAGCCUCUAAAAGAUAGGGCGUAUCCAGCUUACUUGUACAGUGGUAUUACUGAUUCAACUCGGGUUACCGACAGGAAAAUUCCUACUGAGGAUCUACUGAGCCGACUAGACAUGAUCCUGAGGGGCAAGGUAUCAAAUGUUGGUGCUCCUGUUGCUUAUUCUGCUUGGAAUCUACCACCUCCUAGGUCAUUUUUCAAUUUCAUGUCCAACCCUCCUGUCAGUGAUAGUGGUCUGGGUCUUAGAGUGCGACCCUCUCCUGAAGACAUUGAGGCUCUGGUUGCUCCUCUUCGUGAUCUUCCCAAUGAUGAGAGGCAAGUUCACUUUGAGAUGCCAGCAAGUCCGGAUGAUGCAGAAAUAGAUGUUGUACUCAAUAUGUUGGUUGGAGAAUCUUCUGACUCGGCCCCUGCUGAACCGAUGGCUGUUACGGUUGGACAAGAGGUUAACAAAAUAGUGGACACCCGAAAGCCUGAGGGUACUCGCCCAAAACGUUCUCGCCAGGUUAGCCGUUCGACUGCGCCUAUUGAGGAGAAGAAGAAGAAGAGGUGGCUCCAGCGACUAUCAUGCUUGGACCGGGAUGCUGGCCCUUCUGUUCCUGUUUGUGAAGAAGUACCAGCAGAGGUUCUUCCUGAGGUUGAUCCCAAUGGUGGUGUACGCGUUGAAGUUGACCCCAAUGGGUGUGACCAUGCACCAGCUGUCCUCAAUGUGUGUGACCUUGUUGAAGCUGAACCCAAUGGGUGUAACCGUGCAGAAGCUGAACCCAAUGGGUGUGUCCGUGCACCGGCUAUUGUUCGUAUUUUUGAUGAGGACGAAGAAGAGGAAGAAGAAGUUCCGCUAAUUCGUAAGAAUAGCCGGCGUUACAGAGGUAGUAGGGGGAUAGUGAUAUUCCUUCUCCGGCUCUGUCUGCUCUUGUCAGCCUUCAAGAGUUGUCCAUAGCAGAUUUUGAUCGGGCCCUUGAGGAUGUCGUUCCUGAAGAUAUGCUGUCGGAGCCGACUGUUGGCGAUAUGAUGGAUGUUUGCUCUGGAAUUCCAGACGUGGGAUUAGAGGUAUCCCGAGCAGUGUCUCGCACAUCGUCGACAUUGGAAGGCAGUCUUCGAUGUCAAGAAGUUGGUCAGGAUUGUCCGACUCCCAUGGAGGUGACUGAGGAUCCUUCAGCCUUAGAGGUGGCUGUUGAAGAAAACCCAGCCCCCCGAGGGUGAUGCUGGCAGUUACCCAGCCCCGAGGGUGUCGCCGGUAGUGAUCCGGCUCUAGUGGGUAGCGCGAGCUGCAACCCAGCCCCGAGGGUAUUGCCGGUAAUGAUCCAGCUCUGGUGGGUGGCGCAAGCUACAACCCAGCCCCCGAGGGUGUCCAAGUGAGCUCUACUUCCCACACCUCCAUGGAUGUCCAUGUCGGGUCGUCUCCACCACGAUCUGAUAAAGUGAUGGUGAUGCAUGCUUCUUUAACUUCGAGCGAGCGAGUCGCCUAGGAGGUCGGCGAGCCAGAUGCAAGAAUUCUGAUAUCUGCUAGUGGGGUUGAGUCAACCCCUGACAAUGUUCUUCAAAUUGUUUCAGUUGAUCUUCCUUCAUCGAGCUACAACGCAGCUUCUCAUGGCAACGCACGGGCACACACUUUCAGAGCAUCCACUACCUAAAAUCAAAACCGCAAGCUGGACCAAGAAUCUUUGGGCCGAUUAUUUCAAAACCAACUCAAAGAUUGGGGGCUUGUGGGGGACAGAUAUCCCCCGGGUCCACUAGAAGGCUAGAAAGCCUCGCAAAAGGCUUUGGGCCCAUUACUUCGCAAGGUAUCCCUUCGUGGGCUAGGGGAGGAACCACCGGCGGAAUGGACUGACACGAGAUUGGAUAGACUCGAGCCCAGACGAUUCGACGGGUUUAAGCAUUAUCCACAGCAUUGAUCCGAUUCUCCCGCGCAGCACCUUCAGACGUCGGAACUAAAUAAGGAUAAGUCGGCAGGAUUAUAGGAAGAUAAGUUCAGUCGGUUCACUAUUAUUUAGGUGCACAUUGUUAUCAUACUUGUAUGUAUCGCCCCACGGUCGAGUAUAUAAGGCCUAGGGGGCACCCCAUCAAAAGACAGGUCAUUCAUCAGCCAUCUACUUCAUUCUCUAGCACUCUCCAAACUAGAGAGUUCCCCUGUAACCCACCACAUAAAGAUCCACACCAGGAAGUAGGGUGUUACGCCUCUCUAAGCGGCUCGAACCUGUAGAAAAUUGUCUAUCGUCUCUCGUGCACCUAGCACGAACCAUCGAGCUACAGCCAGCAACACCGUCCUACCCAAAAGCACCUCGAGGGGUAACCCCGGGUGCACGGUCGGGUCCCAAACACCGACAUAUAUGCUAUUUUGUAAACAUGAGUAAAAAUUUGUAAAUAGUUUAUAUUGACUAAUUAUUGAUAAUAGUUGUCUUCAGAUAUUCUGCAUCGUGCCCCUGACAUAGUAGUUGAUGGCCUGCUGCAGGGGUAGGCCCUUGUACGCCAUGAUAGUGGCCAUGUCCCACUUGAGCGUGCAUGACACGACACACGCGCCACAUGUGUAUGUGCCGAACCUGAUCAGUGGUGAAUCCCCAAUGCGCCCGAGCAUCUUGCUCAUCAACCGUCUGUGGACAUGGCCGCCGCACACCCCAACGUCUCUGAUGCGUACACACUGAUGGGCAACCCGUUCAUCACCAUGCCCGCCUUGUGUACGUUAUCGCUGUCCACGCUGUUCGCGCUACACUUGUCCAUUCGCGCUGCACUUGUCUAUCCCCAUCGGUGGGAUGAGGUAGUCGAACUGCGCGAGCGCGAAAAGUAGGAAAAAAGAACAACCAUUGUUAGUUCACUGUUGAAACGAUUCUUCUUUUUUGGUAAGCAUACAACCGAGACAAGAAAUAAAAAUAGUGAUGUAUGAAACGGGUGAACAAGAAGAAACCAGGAUGUUGCCGCCUGCUGGCCUCCUUGGCGAGCUUGAGCAUGCUGAAGGUAGUCCAACCACACGAGGGCAAACAGAAGGAAAAAAGAACCAUGGUUAGUUCUUUGUUGGAUCAAUUCUUCGUUUUUUUGGUAAACAUGAAACUAAGAUAAGAAAUAAAUGGAAUAAUGUAUGAGACGGGUGAACAAGAACGAACCAUGAUUUAAUAAAAUAAUUAGUUGCCCCUGUGUUACUACGUUUCAAUAUUCACAAUACUUAUAAUAUCUAUCAUUUAUAGAACACACACAAAUAUGAGCUCUUACGAUUUCAGGAUCACUCAAGUCUCCCAAGUGUACACCGGAGAAGUUUGAGAAAAGUCCCGAUGAUGAAGGUGGAGAGACCUCGUAGAUUAUGCAGUACAAUAACAUUGGUGGGACAAACUCCAUCAACGUAAUCAAGCUUCAUGAAACACAAGAAGAAAAGGAAAAUUAAGUUAGUGUAGUUUUAUUUUGCAAUUUGUACAACAACAACCAUCUUAAAAAGCCUUUCUCAAUAAAACUGUGGGUGGUACCGUCUUACCAACAAUGGUGCCAAAUGUAAUCAGCAAGAACACAUAAAGUAAUGAUAUGUGAAGGAAGUAGCAAUAGAAUAUAUAUAUAUAUAUAUAUAUAUAUAUAUAUAUAUAUAUAUAUAUAGGGCUUCCUGUAGUUAAAUAGAGCCCAGGGCUCUAAAUAAUAUAUAUAUAUAUAUAUAUAUAUAUAUAUAUAUAUAUAUAUAUAUAUAUAUAUAUAUAUAUAUAUAUAUAUAUAUAUAUAUAUAUGGAAACAGCUCGGCCCGUUCGGCAGCAUAGGAACAUUUCCAAGCUAAGAACUGUUUCAGGCCUGGAUUUAGUGCAUCCAGCUCUUUCGCUCUUUCUAGUCCAGAAUUAAUCUAAUUGGAACACUUUUGCCUAAAAACACUUCUUCUCCUUGCUCGACAGUCUAGGAUUGGAAAAGGUUGUUUGAUAAAAAUAUGAGUUAUAGGCUUACAACUUCAGACUUGUGAUAGCCAAACCUGAAUCAACCAAAAGCAUGUAUGAACAAAUGCAAAGAACCAUCUUGUUAACGAACUUACAAACACAAAGAAUAAUCAACCAAAGGCAUGUCUUACUGCUGCUUUAUAAGCUUUCUCAAAUUACAGUCUUGCUACCAAAAUAAGAACCAUACACUGUAUACAACAAGAAGUUCUAGUAAAUGGUAGAGUAGUAGUAGUCAAAACUGACCGAUUGCACUGAUUCAAACACUACUCUGGAUACCUGCAGAGUAAAGUAGGCACUGCUAGUAUAGUAGUAGCUGUCAUUCUUCCCUAACCUUAUAGUCAAGCCCUCUCUGCAGAUUAUUUAGAUAACACAAUAUUUAUCACUCAAUUGGUAACCAUCGGUGUGUAUAACACAAUAUUUACCAAAAUAAGAACCAACGUCGCUGGUAUGGGGCCGGUGAGGCCGGGGUUGGACUUGAGCACGAUCUGCUCGAGCGAGGACAACGACGUGAACAGCGCGGGCGACGCCAAAGCAGCCGAAGAUGGAGAGCGUCCAGAGGUGCGGCAGGCCGCGCAGCGAGGCGGGGUCGAGCCUGGUCCCGGGCCUACAGGGUGGGGUGGCGACGUUGGGGUCCAGGUGGAGGCGGGUGGCGUGGAGCACGCGCGCGUCGUCGGGCGCGAGCUCGCACUGCAGGCCCGGCCACGGCGUGUCGGUGUAGGGCCACGGGUGGAGCUGCAGCCACGCCGGGUCGCCGAGGAUGUCCGCCAUCACCCGGAAGAUGGCCGCCAGCUCCGCCCCCAGCAGCUUCGGCGUCGGCGCGUCCCCUCCGAGGAUUGCGGGUAACGGGGAUCGCAACUGGGAGGGUGAGGAGGACGCGAUGGGGAGCGGAGCAGAGGGGGGAUGUCGGGGGUGUGGAGGGAGGGGGGCAGAACCGUGCAUAAUCUUAAGUAGUAGUAGGGAUUUUUGACGAGUCAAGUUUGAAAUAGCAGAUAGAAUAAGUAACGUUUUUGAGAUAGGAUAGUUAACCGCAAGUCUUUGUGCGUAGAAUAUAGGUGGAAUUUAACAGCCUUCAAACUCUGUUCUGGUUCGUUCCUUCAGAAACUUUAUGCGUACGGAUACGUCUGCUUUCUUGUGCACCUUCAACAGUCGCAGGUCCGUCGAGAAUAAGUCUGUUCACUUCAUAUUAAAACUAACUAUUUAAACUGCUGCGGAUACAAUCUAUAAAGAUAAAAUAUUAUAAAAGUAUUAGAAACCGGUAUAGAUUAAAUCAAACUACCAUGCUGUAAAUUCGUACAGAUUUUACAAUCGUGCUGAACCCUGUGCUAGGGGCUGCAUACUAGCGCUACUUUCAGGGCGGGGAUUAUUGUUCCAAUUCGUGAAUUGGUAAUUUCUGAAUCUAAAUAAAAUCUCAAUUAUAAUAUGGUCCUUAGAAAUCAGAUUCUUCAACAUUUUCAAUCAAAAUAUCCAGAACCUUCACUAUACGAAUUAGCAUGCGAAGGUUGAAGAGAGAGGCGGUGCAAUAAUAAUGGAAAACCCUCCAUACUUGGUGGGCCUGAAAGAACGCAAGGCCAAUGGCCACAUGCGAGUAGCCAAUGGCCCCAAGGCCGAAAUGGCAGCCACUGCAACGAACGAGUCAAUGCUCCAGACUCGCCGGCUUCUAGGCCCAUUUCGAACCUUCCGGAAGCGCGGCACGGAAUAAAUACUCCGCUACCCCUAACCUCACUCCCCCUCUCGAUCCGGAAACCUCUCAAACCCUAGCCGCCUCCUGCAAGUUUCAGAGCUCAGGAAUCUGCGCCAUGGCGAGUGAGACGGAGACCUUCGCAUUUCAGGCUGAGAUCAACCAGCUGCUCUCACUCAUCAUCAACACCUUCUACUCCAACAAGGAGAUCUUCCUCCGCGAGCUUAUCUCCAACUCUUCCGAUGUAAGUGACCCCGUUUAAGUCGAAAUCUAGACGCAUUUCAGUGCGCUAUUAGUGAUAUAGGUUGGAUGCCUUACUGUUUGGGCGACGACUUGUGCUAUGGUGCGAUUACACGUUGCGAGAUGUCCAAUCUCUUCGGCAUACAUCCGAAUCUGUGCAGCUCGCGCUUUCUGUGGGGUUAAUGCUGUGUCUGACUUCUGAUUUUUUUUUGCGCUCCUGAUUUUGUGUUUUGGCUCGGUGCUGUUUAUUUUGCACGAUUUUUGCAGGCGCUGGACAAGAUCAGGUUCGAGAGUCUCACUGACAAGAGCAAGCUCGAUGCGCAGCCUGAGCUUUUCAUCCACCUUGUCCCAGACAAGGCCACGAACACGCUCUCCAUCAUCGACAGCGGCAUCGGCAUGACCAAGUCCGACCUUGUCAACAACCUCGGUACCAUCGCCAGGUCCGGGACGAAGGAGUUCAUGGAAGCUCUUGCUGCCGGCGCUGAUGUGUCCAUGAUUGGCCAGUUCGGCGUCGGUUUCUACUCUGCCUACCUCGUCGCCGAUAGAGUUGUCGUGACCACCAAGCACAACGAUGACGAGCAGUACGUGUGGGAGUCCCAAGCGGGCGGGUCGUUCACUGUUACUCGUGACACGUCAGGGGAGCAGCUUGGCAGGGGCACUAAGAUCACACUGUUCCUUAAGGACGAUCAGGUAUGCUGCAAGCUGCUUCAAUCAAAGAUCGUUAUUAUGUUUUUUGUUGCAAUGCAUAAUGUAAUCGUGUUCUAGUGGCACAAGCCAAGUGUGCCUGUGUUUUGUCUAGCUGUCCUUGUCCUUUAACUAGUGACUGUUCUGUUUUGAUUCUAGAAUAGAUAGAUCACUGUUAUGCCUGAUGUCAUCUACGAGUCCUAAGAUGGUAAAGCUUAUGAGAAAUAUAGGCUUGUGCUAAUUUUGGCUUAUGGAUGCAAACACCAAUAGUUUUGGGUCAUCAAGUUGUCCCACAAUUUGCUAAAAUGAAUAAUAAUGGCACCACCUCAUUAAAUUUUAGGGAGAGGAUUCACUUAAAUGGUGCGCUAGUAUUAUUAGUUACUGAUCCAAAGUAAGCCAUGGGUAGAACACUUGCAUCCCCAUGUAGAGUAUUUCACAAGUGUUAUUUGCUAUAGCUUACUUGGCUUAUCUACAUUUACCUUGAUAUUCCAUCAUAUACACAUUUGUGGAACAGCUCAACAUGAUCUUUUGCAAAUUGUGAUCUUAAUUACAAGCCAACCUUUUUAUCAGGGAGAUGUUGCACUGCAAAUUAGCACUUGCAUACUUAAUGAAGCAUCCAAGUUUGUUAAAUAACUGUGUUACAUAAUCUAGUCAGUUGUUCAAAUAAUGUGUUUAUCAUUUUGAAGUGAACAUGCAAUUGUUUUGUGCUGUGGGAGUAGGUGGCACAUAUUUUGGGAUACAUUGAUUUUUAUAUAUGCUUGCUUUGCUGCAUCCAUUAAAUGUGCAAAAUGUUCUUUAUAAUGUCCUGUAAAGAAAAUAAAUUGGUUAAAUAUAGAGCCUUUAAGCUAACGGUACAAACUACAUGAACUUAUUCUCUUGUCAUCAAUUGCCUCCUUGGUUAUUUAGAAAUGUAUUUAGAUUAUUCUGUAUUGAAUUGUUUUUUCUGUGGGAGCUGCUGGUGUUACUUGUAAUCACAUUUCAACUUCUCUCUUGCAGCUGGAGUACCUUGAGGAGCGUCGCCUCAAGGAUCUGGUCAAGAAGCACUCUGAGUUCAUCAGCUACCCCAUCUCCCUGUGGACUGAAAAGACAACAGAGAAGGAAAUUUCUGACGACGAAGACGAGGAAGAGAAGAAAGAUGCUGAGGAAGGAAAGGUUGAGGAUGUUGAUGAGAAGGAAGAGAAAGAAAAGAAGAAAAAGAAGAUCAAGGAGGUUUCUCAUGAGUGGUCAUUGGUCAACAAGCAGAAGCCCAUAUGGAUGAGGAAGCCAGAAGAAAUCACAAAAGAAGAAUAUGCUGCCUUCUAUAAGAGCUUGACAAAUGACUGGGAGGAGCAUCUGGCUGUGAAGCACUUCUCUGUGGAGGGUCAACUGGAGUUCAAGGCUGUUCUCUUUGUUCCUAAGAGGGCCCCCUUUGAUCUCUUUGACACCAAGAAGAAGCAAAACAACAUCAAGCUCUAUGUGCGCAGGGUGUUCAUCAUGGACAACUGCGAAGAGCUGAUCCCUGAGUGGCUGAGCUUCGUUAAGGGUAUUGUUGACUCUGAGGACCUUCCCCUCAAUAUCUCUCGUGAGACUCUUCAGCAGAACAAGAUCCUGAAGGUGAUCAGGAAGAACCUUGUGAAGAAGUGUGUUGAGCUCUUCUUUGAGAUUGCUGAGAACAAGGAGGACUACAACAAGUUUUACGAGGCUUUCUCCAAGAACCUCAAGCUUGGCAUCCACGAGGACUCGCAGAACAGGACCAAGAUCGCCGAGCUUCUGAGAUACCACUCCACCAAGAGUGGUGAUGAGCUGACCAGCCUCAAGGACUACGUGACCAGGAUGAAGGAGGGACAGAAUGACAUAUACUAUAUCACUGGUGAGAGCAAGAAGGCAGUGGAGAACUCCCCCUUCCUUGAGAAGCUGAAGAAGAGGGGCUAUGAGGUUCUGUACAUGGUUGAUGCCAUUGACGAGUAUGCUGUUGGUCAGCUCAAGGAGUUUGAGGGCAAGAAGCUUGUCUCUGCCACCAAGGAGGGUCUGAAGCUUGAUGAGACUGAGGACGAGAAGAAGAGGAAGGAGGAGCUGAAGGAGAAGUUUGAGGGGCUGUGCAAGGUCAUCAAGGAGGUUCUGGGUGACAAAGUUGAGAAGGUGGUGGUGUCUGAUCGCGUUGUGGACUCACCGUGCUGCCUUGUGACUGGCGAGUAUGGCUGGACCGCCAACAUGGAGAGGAUCAUGAAGGCACAGGCCCUGAGGGACUCGAGCAUGGCGGGCUACAUGUCGAGCAAAAAGACAAUGGAGAUCAACCCAGAGAACCCUAUCAUGGAUGAGCUCCGCAAGCGUGCCGAGGCUGACAAGAAUGACAAGUCAGUCAAGGAUCUCGUGAUGCUGCUGUUCGAGACUGCUCUCCUGACCUCCGGCUUCAGCCUGGAUGACCCCAACACCUUCGGCAACCGGAUCCACCGCAUGCUCAAACUCGGUCUGAGCAUCGAUGAGGACGAGCCUGUUGAGGCAGAGGCUGAGAUGCCUCAGCUUGAGGACGACGCUGGUGAAAGCAAGAUGGAG